UUUUUUUUUUUUUUUUCCUUUUUAGCAAUUGAUAUGGUCUCUUCGUUUUGUUGCUUUGAUAUUUUCAUACUCAUGAUAUUGCUUAAUUUGAGAUAACGAUAUUAUUAUCUUUUACUUCUGAAUAGAGCGAAAAUGAUACAAAAAAUUACUCUUACCAAUUUAGGAUUGAAGUGUAAUUAAUUGAUAACAGAAAAUUUUGGGACAAUUUCAGAUCUUCAUAACACUAAUGUCCAUUGUAAUUUAAGGACAAUUUCAGAUUUUAAUUUCUUUAUAAUGAUUAUUCUCCCUCUUCGCAAGGAGUUUCCCAUUUUGCUCCAUUGGCUACUCAACUCGCAACCUAAGGGUUUGAGGCAGAUGAAACUUACCACUUGAACAACCUUUGUUUGUCUUAUAUAACAAUUAUUUUAAUAUUUUAUUAUUAAUGUAAAAGGUUUACAAUUUGACUAGUUUACUCUUACUAAAAGGCUUUUUUGUUUGCUAAUGAAGCUAAAAAAAACUUGCAAAUUCAUUAAAUAAAAGAAUAUAUUAGUAAACGUAAAAUAGUCACUCUUUGACAUUUAACUAAAGAUAUUAAAGUAAUUAUUAAGAACAUCACAAGAUAUUAAAAUAUUUACAAAAAGUCAAAAUAAAAAAGAUAGACGUAAUAUCGGAGAGAUUAGUAUCACAAAAUAAAAAUUGAGGGGAAGUCUUUAUAAUUAUUCAUGUUAUUUAUCCUACCACUGAGUUGGGCCAAACUUGUAAUUAUUUUGAGGAAACUUUCUUUUGGUAAUAAAGUGGUGGAAAGGUGUUAUUCUAAUCCUGGUAGUUGGAGCACAUGAAUUCAUCUCAUGCCACAUUAUGUUGUCCCAAUUAUUCCUUGCUAUUUGUUGGCAAAAUUUAAGGUGAUAAUUGAUUCUCAAGAAUUAAGUCCAUCGGAUACUUUUAAUUCCAGACAGGCUUCUUUAGCUAUGAUAUCAUAAUAUGGUGCGGCAGACACCAACAGUUUAAUUAAUGCAUUUGACAGUUCUAUAACCUUUUUGCGUAAAUACGAUGUCAUGAUUAAAUAAUAUAUUAUGGUAAAAUAUACAUAGAAUAAUUAUAUUUAAGUAAUAGAAGUGCAUGAAAAAAAUACAUGUCAUGUAUUUAUUGUUUUGAUUUAAAUACUGAGUGCAUUUAUUUUCCGGAAGGUACAAUGCUUAGAAUAAAUUCAAGUUGCUUUCAUUUCAUUCUCAAUUUAUGCCUAAAAGAAAUGCUCUCUCGCUUUUUCUCUUAGAUGGCACUUCUCUUCUUCUCUAUUAAAAGUGCAACUUUUUGCACAUAGUGCAUAUAGUGAGCACACUCGAAUUUACAUUGGCACAGGCUUAGGAGGAAGUCAUGUAUUCAAACAAGCUCAAAAGUUGAAAAAGUGUGUAUUGAUCGUUCACUUGUAAUAUGUUAAGAAACUUAGGUUAUGGUUGUUUGCCCGAAAAAUGAAUAGAGUUGAAUUUAUACGUAGUUCUAAGAGUACGUGGUAUAACUUGGCACAAAUCAGAAAAGUAAGUAGCAAUAUAUUGGGUAUUGACAGUAUGAAGAAUGAAAUACCAAUCAAAUUGAAAUAGAAAGCUAUUUUAUGAACAAGCAAGAUGAAUCAAUGAAUAUAGCUCACAAGAGGAUAAUCUCAAUAUAAAUAUCAGUAUGUUUUUCUCUGUGAAUAUCAAUAAUAUGAGAGUGUGUCAAUGCCUUAAAAAUGUCCCCCUUCACUAAAAUAAUAGUUACCCCUCUUGUAGUGGAGGAAUCUUACUUUAAAUAUAAUUAAAAAUAUAUAAUGGGGAUUCCAUGAUAGAAUAGUUUUUUCCUAAUUUCCGCUAAGAUUCUCUCUCCUUAGUGCGACUAUAACGGCUCUUGUCCCUUUGCUCGAUCUUGAUCGGACUUGGUAUUGGUUGGUUUCCAGAUUUAGAGCCCGAUAUUGACUCGGGUCUGGUAUUGACUCGGGCUCGGUAUUGGUCGGUCUCUGGCUCUCAAGCUCGAUGACGCUGCUUCGCAUCAUAGUUCAAUUUGGAUUAGAGCUCGGUAAUGACUUUGAGUUUAAUAUUUGAUCGGUCCCAGAAAUUAUAGCUCGGUAACCUGGCUUCGGAUCUCAUACCUGAUAUUAUGAAGAUGACAUUCGGUCCAUUAUGUUCCAACCUUGACUAAUCAUAUGAAGGUCGAAACCAGUUUUGACCGUAUACAGAUAGUCCCCUCGUUUCUCGGGAAGAAUAUGGCAAGAAACUACAUAAUUUUCAAGCGGUAUGACUCGAUACAAACUGACGUUUGCAUAGAGCUCGACCAUGACGUACGUGAUAGAUGUCCCGUCGAUUUAGUUUACCAAGGCAUUAAAUGCGUGUCAGACGAUGGUCGGCCAUCGUCGACACUAAACCGGCAUUGCCAACCCUUUAAAUAGCCCCUUUUUUUACCAUUUUUUACUUUUACAUCUCCAAAUCUUCUAAGUUCCCUUUCACAUCUUCUGAGUUCUUCAUCUGUAAAUUUGUGAUUUUCACUGCAAAAUCCCUAUUUUUGAACACCAAAUCUUGUCAUCUUCCUCUAUCUUCAAUCUUCAGAUCCUAAUGGGGAAAACAUCAAAAAUCGUUCCUCAAAAAGAAAAAGCUUAUUCUUCGCGGCCCACCGACGACAAAACACCGGUGAAGCCACGACCUGAGGAAUGUGUUCCCGGGGGGUGUGUUCUUACCUUCAAUUUUAAGAUCGACAAAGCUUCAUCGGUCCCCGGUCAAUGCGAGCCAGUAUCGAGAUAUAUGUGCUUGAUAACCGAGGGUCAUCUUAAACAGUUAAGAAAAGAUUGCAACUAGGAGGACAUAGAAGUGCUAAUCCCAAUUCCCGAAGAAGAUAAUACUACUGAUGUGAAAGGUUUUCUAAGUGUGUACACUUACCCUUUCACGUUGAUCCCCCUCGACCCUGUUGUCAUUGAUUUUUGCCGCCAAUACCAAGUAACUCUAGGCCAAAUCCACCCUUCUUUUUCGCAGAUCGUUAUUCUGAUCUGCUUCUUUGUGAACAAAGUCGAGGGGAUGCCUUUCACCCUCGACCACCUCAUUAGACUGUAUAGCCCAUGCCUCUAUCUAGGUGGGUUAAUUAAAACUAGNNNNNNNNNNNNNNNNNNNNNNNNNNNNNNNNNNNNNNNNNNNNNNNNNNNNNNNNNNNNNNNNNNNNNNNNNNNNNNNNNNNNNNNNNNNNNNNNNNNNNNNNNNNNNAGUUUACAGGAGGAUAUUUUUGCCGCCAAUACCAGUAACUCUAGGCCAAAUCCACCCUUCUUUUUGGCGGAUCAUAAUUCUGAUCCGCUUCUUUGUGAACAAAGUCGAGGGGAUGCCUUUCACCCUCGACCACCUCAUUAGACUGUACAUGCCCCGCCUCUAUCGAGGUGGGUUAAUUAAAACUAAUGGUAAAUUGCUUCUCUAUUGACUAAAUAGACUUCCACCAUCGGGAUACCAAAGUAAUGUUCUUGAGCAUAGACGAGGACAAAGACCGGGGCGGAAUGGGCAGGUUCGUUUGAGUGAAGACUUCGGGCCUAAUCCCAGCCGAGAAGAUUUCAUUUCCCGAAGAAUGCCGAGCGCUCGUGGCACGAUUUAUCAAAGGGCCGAUGGGAGGCCAAAAACCAUGGUAAGCCUCUUUCCCAUGUCUUUGAUAAUUCGAACAAAAUGUUUUUCUUAUACUUAAUAAAUAUUUUUGUUUGUAGGCCUGGGCAAAGAUGCGACUAUGAGGCCCCCGUCUAGCAAGGAAAAUACUUUGGCCCCGGUUCCGAAACCGGCGAAAGACAACAAAAGAAAAAGUGACUCUACCUCUGAGGAUCCAAUACUUAAGACGAAGACGACUCGUAAGCCGAGGAAGAAUACCAUCCCUCUGACCGAAGAAUCAGUUCGGCACCUAAGGGAUGAAGACGAAGAAGAAGAUGAUGAUGAUGAUGACUUCGGGCUAAUGUCCUAAGUGAAAAUGAGCGUCGAGGCUCCAAAGGCUACUGAAUCGAUGAAGACUGCAAAGAUUCUAUUUUGCGAUGAGGGAGUCUCUGGAAGAGAAUUGGUCGAAGUCCCCGAGUCAUCGAGGAUCGAGGCUACCUCCCACCAUAAUGAGCCAAUGGUGGGUACAGUUGUGGGGGCUGGGCUCAAGGCUCCUCGAGAAGAAGAGAACGCCCCAAGUGCUUCACUUGGGGAAGCUCCCCUCAUUUUCUGAGGAAAUGAUUCGAGAGGCUCGGGCCUUGAAGACCCUUUCUAUCGAAGGAGGUCACGGAAGGGAGGAUCCCUUUCAUGAUUAUUUUACUGGGGUCAAAGAUACUACCGGCCUGAGCGAUUUGGAAGUCUCGAGGAAGGACUCGGGUGAGGCAUCGGGCCUUUUUAAUGAAGUGCAGCGAGCUCUGAGUCGGGUAAGUCUUAACUCUCUUGGUUAGUAUUAUCUCUGUGUUUGUUUUCCUCUUCUAACUUCUUUUCUUUCUGCGUAGGCCUCAGCGCUUCAUCGGGAAACAUGUUUUCGGUCCCGAGCUAAGAUGAGUCGGUACGAGGCCGACCUCUGAAGGCUCACGGAGGAGAGAAAUACCCUCAGACUUAGUUGUGAGCAAAGAGAAGAGGAGACAAAGGACCUCUGAGCCGAGUUGACCAAGGCUCACCAAGAUCAGACCGAUCUAACCGAGCCGGUAAUGAAAAUCUUAAAAACGCAUGGGCUCGAUUCAGGAUCGGAGGCUAAUAUUUCGAUCUCACACCUGCAGUAGAAGCUCGAGAUGAUCGGGCAGCUCCGUGAGGAGGUCGAUAUAAUAAAGGCGCAGACCUUGGGGUGGAAAGAAUGUAUGGACCGCCUUGCUGCAGAGAAAUAGGAUGUUCGAGCCUAAUUAUUAUCGGUCGAAAGUCAACUUCAAGGCAUGAAGGAGAGGAUCUCAGUUGAAGCAUGAAAAACAGAGGAGCUUGAAGCUCGGUUGACUUCCGAACUUGCCAAGGCCAAAUCUGAAGCUGAAAAAGCAAAGUCUGAGGCGGAUACAUUCGUGGCUAUUUAUCGGGCCGAUGCCGAAGCCGCUCAAGUAAAAGCGAGAAAGGUAGCCGAUACCGCUCAAACUCGAGCAUAUUGGGUUGCUGAACUCGCCAAAUGCCAAUCUCGGAGGGAAACUCUCGAGAAAAUUCAUGCUCUAGGUUUCGAUCUAACCGAAUAGAUAAAAAGGCUAAAGAACUUGAAGUCGAUGUCGGAGCCCUGGCUUCCGAUGAUGAUGAUGAGAGCAAGAGCGAGUCUGAGAGAGGGGAGGAGCUCGAUGGAGAAGAGGCUACUCUCGGAGAUAAUUAGGAACCUUAGGGUUUUUUUGUUUGAUCUUUUUUGUGUAGGGUCCUGAUCGGACCUUGUAAAUACUCAUAUAUAUGAAGAUCUUUUCCUUUCCCGAUUUGUCUUUGUUUCAUUUUCUGCCUUGUGAAAACUUUGUUUCAUUCGUGCCUUAUGAAAACUUUGUUUCAUUCAUGCCUUAUGAAAGUUUUCAAUUGUUCGAGGCUUUAGGCAAUUUGAUCAAAGUCGAACCUUGAAGUCUUUAUAACCGAGUGAAUGAUUGCUCAGACUCGAAGUAAUAUAGCUUGUAGGCUUAAUAAUUGAGUGAGUGCUUGUUCGAACUCGAAUUAAGAGUAGCCCUUAGGCUUUAAUAGUCGAGUGAGUGCUUGCUCGAACUCGAAGUAAUGUAGCCUGUAGGCUUAGUAGUCGAGUGAUGAUUUCUCAAACUCAAAAUAAGAUUAGGCCUUACGCUUAGUAGUCGAGUGAGUGAUUGCUCGAACUCGAAGUAAUGUAGCAUGUAGGCUUAGUAGUCGAGUGAGUGAUUGCUCGAACUCAAAAUAAGAUUAGCCNNNNNNNNNNNNNNNNNNNNNNNNNNNNNNNNNNNNNNNNNNNNNNNNNNNNNNNNNNNNNNNNNNNNNNNNNNNNNNNNNNNNNNNNNNNNNNNNNNNNNNNNNNNNNNNNNNNNNNNNNNNNNNNNNNNNNNNNNNNNNNNNNNNNNNNNNNNNNNNNNNNNNNNNNNNNNNNNNNNNNNNNNNNNNNNNNNNNNNNNNNNNNNNNNNNNNNNNNNNNNNNNNNNNNNNNNNNNNNNNNNNNNNNNNNNNNNNNNNNCCCAUCCAUGUUUCUGAUCGAACACCUGCAAGGGUUAAUUUCGACAUAUAAACGAACAUAAGAAGGUCGUACCUUAACAGUAGUAUCGUUUUAGGUGCGCCAUAUUCCAAUUGCUUGGUAGUUGUUUGUCGUUUAUUACACCGAGCUUGUAGGAUCCUUUUCCGACGAUUUCGAGAACCUGAUACGGUCCUUCCCAAUUCGGACCCAGUUUUCCUUCAUUUGGAUUUCAGGUGUUGAGGGUGACUUUCCUUAGCACCAAGUCCCCGAUUUUAAAAUAUCGAAGAUUGGUUCUUCGAUUAUAAUACCUUUCGAUCCGUUGUUCUUAGGCGGCUAAUCGGACGAGAGAUGCAUCUCGUUUUUUGUCCAAUAAUUCUAGGCUCGUGUUCAUCAUCUUGUUAUUCGACUCAUUUGUUGCAUAUCAAAACAUGAUGCUAGGUUCUCCUACUUCAACCGAGAUAAGAGCUUCGGCUCUAUAAACCAACGAAAAUGGUGUCGCCCGGUACUCGAUUUCGAUGUUGUGCGGUAAGCCCAUUAGACUUCGGGUAGUAUUUCUCUCCAUUUUCCUUUAGCGUCGGUUAAUCUUUUCUUAAGAUUUUGGGUGAUGGUUUUGUUGGUCGAUUCGGCCUGUCCAUUUCCAUUGGGAUAAUAAGGUGUUGAUAAGAUCCUUUUGAUUUUGUGGUCUUCGAGAAAUAUGGUUAUUUUGCUUCCGAUGAAUUGCUUUCCAUUGUCACUUACAAUCUCGGAUGGCAUCCCGAACCGACAUAUGAUGUGGUCCCAAAUGAAGUCUAUCACCUCAUUUUCUCUGACUUUCUCAAAAGCCUGUGCUUCAACCCAUUUAGAGAAAUAAUCAGUCAUAAACAAAAUAAAUUGAACCUUACCUGGUGCCGAUGGGAGGGUGUCGACGAUGUCCAUUCUCCAUUUCAUAAAAGGCCAAGGAGCUAGGACCGAGUGGAGAAUUUCCCCGGGUUGAUGAAUCAUGGGCGCAUGUCUUUGACAUUUGUCGCAUUUUCGAACGAACUCCCUUGCAUCUUUGUCCAUAUCGAUCCAAUAAUAUCCUGCUCUGAUUAUUUUGUGGACCAAUGAAUCGAAACCGGAAUGAUUCCCACAAGUGCCCUCGUAAAUCUCACGUAGGAUGUAGUCGGUAUCUCUCGGUCCCAAACAUAUUGCCAGUGGACCAUCGAACGUUCUUCUAAACAACGCCCCAUCAUUGGAUAAGGUGAACCAUGCAGCUUUUGUGCGUAGAGAUCUCGAUUACUUUAGAUCCGAUGGAAGUUUCCCAUUUUUGAAGUACUCUAUAUAUUUGUUUCUCCAAUCUUGGGUUAGACUUGUGGAGUUAUCUCGGCAUGACCUUCUUUGAUUACCGAUUUCAUGAGUUGUAUGUCAGUCCCCGAGUUGAGCUCGUCAUCUUCGACCGAAGAACCUAAGUUUGCAAGAGCGUCGGCCUCACUGUUCUGCUCUCGAAGUACAUGUUGCAAAGUUCAUUACUUAAAUCGAUGUAGAGUCACUUGCAAUUUAUCCAAGUACCUCUGCAUUCGAUCUUCUCGAACUUCAAAAGUCCCGUUGACAUGAUUUACCACGAUGAGGGAAUCACAUCUAGCCUCCACGACCUCAGCUCCCAAACUUCUAGAUAGUUCGAGACCUGCAACCAUGGCCUCAUACUCGGCCUCAUUGUUAGUCAAUUUUGUAGUUUUAAUAGACUGUCUAACUAUAUUACCUGUGGACGAUUUUAAUACAAUGCCCAGUCCGGACCCCUUUGCAUUCGAGGCACCGUCCGUAAAGAGGGUCCAGAUUCCCGAAGAAGUACCCGAUUUUAUUAGUAAUUCCUUUUCUACCUCGAGUACAAAGGCCGGCGUGAAGUCAGCCACGAAGUCCGCUACGAUUUGAGAUUUGAUAGCGGUUCGAGGUCGUUACUUGAUGUCGUACCCGCCGAUCUCUAUGGCCCAUUUGGCCAAUCGACCUGAAAGCUCAGGUUUGUGUAAAAUAUUUUGCAGAGGGUAAGUUGUUACAAUAUAUAUCGGAUGGCAUUGGAAAUAUGGUUUUAAUUUCCUAGAGGCACUUAUUAAAGCAAGCACUAAUUUUUCUAAGUGUGGAUAUCUAGUUUCGGCCUCGCCUAGAGUUCGACUGACAUAAUAAAUAGGGAAUUGCGUACCUCGUUCUUCUCGAAUUAGGACUCCACUUACCACUACCUCCGAGACAGCUAGAUACAGGUAAAGUUGUUCGUCUGAUUUCGUUGUAUGAAGCAACAGAGGGCUCGAUAGAUACCUUUUUAGCUCUUCCAAAGCCUGUUGACAUUCCAGAGUCCACGAAAAAUUACUUUUCUUUUUAAGCAAAGAGAAAAAUCGGUGGCUCAUAUCCGAGGAUCUCGAAAUGAAUCAUCCCAGGCUGUCUAUCCGUCCAAUUAGCCUUUGCACGGCCUUUACAUUAUCUACCAACGUGAUGUCCUUGAUUGCUUUGAUUUUAUCGGGGUUAAUCUCCAUUCCUCGAUUGGACACCAUGAAACCGAGAAACUUACCUGAGCCAACCCCGAAAACAUAUUUUUUGGGAUUGAGCUUCACAUUGAACUCUCUUAGUAUGUCGAAAGUUUCCUGUAAAUGCUUUAAAUGGUCCUCUACUCGCAGGGAUUUGACUAACAUGUCAUCAAUAUAAACUUCCAUUGAUUUUCCUAUCUGCUUUUCGAACAUUCUAUUUACUAGGCGUUGAUAAGUUGCACCAGCAUUAUUUAGGACAAAUGGCAUUACAUUAUAACAGUAGGUCUCGUACUUAAUGAUAAAUGAGGUCUUUUCCUGAUCCUCCGGGUUCAUCUGUAUUUGGUUGUACCUGGAAUAGGCAUCGAGAAAACUGAGAGUCUCGUGGCCGGCCGUGGCAUCGAUCAUACGAUCAAUAUUAGGCAAAGGAAAAGAGUCCUUAGGGCAUGUUUUAUUCAGGUCUUUAUAAUCUAUACACAUUCUAAGUUUUUCCCCUUUUUAGGGACUACCACCACAUUUGCUAGCCAUUCAGGGUAUUUUACUUCUCGAAUGGACCCUAUUUUGAGAAGUUUGGUUACCUCAUCUUUGAUGAAGGCAUGUUUGACCUCGGACUGGGGCCUUCUUUUUUAUUUUACCUAGUGGAAUUUCGGAUCCAAGCUUAGCUUAUGAGUGGUGAAUCCCAGUGGGAUCUCUGUCAUGUCAAGAUGGGACCAAAAGAAACAGUCUAUGUUAGCUAUAAGAAAUUGAAUAAGCUUUCUCCUAAGCUUGGGAUAUAACCUCGUGCCUAGGUAUACCUUUUCUUCAGGCAUAUAAUCGAUUAGUAUGACUUGCUCCAGUUCUUCGAUUGUUGAUUGGGUGGCAUCGGAAUCAUCGGGAACCACGAAAGAUCGAGGGAUCCUAUGUUCCUCAUCUUCGUCAGCCUUUUGAUUCUCUAAUUGGGUCGAAGCUGACGUUUGUAAUUUCUAUUUGGUAUUCCAUUUCUCCUUCGAAUCUGACCAUUUUGUUGAUGAUAACGACGACAUCGGAAUCACUUCUUCGACGACAAACUUUUUUUUUGCGGUCGGUUGCUCCCCGUAGACCGUUUUGAUCCCCUCCGAUGUUAGGAACUUCAGAACCUGGUGGAGGGUCGAGGGUACAGCUCUCAUAUUAUGGAUCCACGGCCUUCCAAAAAGGGUGGUGUACCUCAUAUCGCCUUUAAUUACGUGAAACUUCAUUUCUUGGAUGGUUCCGGCACGUUUAUUGGCAGAAUUAUCUCGCCUUUGGUAGUUUCACAUACCAUAUUAAAUCCAUUUAGAACCAGGGUUGUGGGUAAGACCUGGUCUUGCAGGCCGAGCUGCUCUACGACCUUCGAUCUAAUAAUGUUGGCCGAGCUACCUGGAUCGAUUAACACACGUUUAACUUUAGUUUUAUUCAUAAGUACAUAUAUUACCAGUGCGUCGUUGUGAGGUUGCAUGACUCAUUCUGCAUCUUCAUCAUUAAAGGACAGGGUUCCUAUGGGUGCGUAAUCCUAAGUUCGAGAUCAUUUUUCUAUUAUAACCGACAUCUUAGUGUGUUUAAGCACCGGCCCCUGAGGGUUAUCGAUCUCAUCAAUAAUCAUAUGGAUGAUGUGCUGUGUCUAUUCUUGUUCAUUUCGUCUGUUGAAAUCCCUAUAUUUGAAAUGAUUUUUGGCCCGGUCACUUAAAAAAUCUCGAAGGUGCCCUUUAUUGAAUAACCGGGCUACCUCAUCUCUUAGUUGCCUGCAAUCCUUCGUUCUGUGGCCAUGAGUGCCAUGAUAUUCGUACAUUUGAUUGGGAUUCCUCUGGGCAUGGUCGGUCUGCAUAGGUCGAGACCAUUUAGUAUCUUUGAUGCGCCCGAUAUCCGAUACGAUAGCGGAUGUAUCGAUGCCGAAGUUAUACUCUGACAACCGAGGUGCUUCCUUAGGUCCGGUAUGCCUGUCGAACCCACUCAUAUUCAUCAGCCCCCGAGAUCCUCGGCCUCGGUCCUUUCUAUUUUUUCCUCCUAUGGAGUUGCGUGAAAGUUCACUACUCCUACGAUCUCCGUUAUACGGCCGGUAUCGAUCCUUGUUUGACUUUGGUUCUUGGUCGAUACUCCUUUAACAUCAGACCCAGAACCCAACUGGUCGUCUUUGACUCUUAUUUUGGAUUGAUAUCGAUUGUGCACAUCGGCCCAAGUAAUAGCUGGGUACUCGAUCAGGUUAUGCUUCAGUCACCGUGAAGCCAUCAAGCUUUUUUCGUUUAGACCUUGAGCGAAAUCUUGAACAGCCCAAUCGUCUGUGACUGGUGGUAGAUCCAUUCACUCCAUUUGGAAACGAGAUACGAAUUCUCUUAGCAUCUCAUUAUCCUUUUGUAUUACCUUGAAUAGGUCCGACUUCCUGGUCUCGACCUUUAUGGGCAGCAUGUGCUUCUAUGAAAGAAUCUAUAAGCAUAGCAAAAGAAUCAAUAGAGUUAGAUGGUAAAUUAUGAUACCAUAUCAUUGCUCCCUUUGAUAGGGUUUCACCAAAAAAUUUCGAUAACACGGAUUUGAUCUCAUCAUCCUCUAGAUCGUUCCCUUUGAUGGUACAUAUGUAAUAGGUGACAUGUUCAUUGGGGCAGGUCAUCCCAUUAUAUUUAGGAAUCUCGGGCAUGCAAAACUUCUUAGGGAUCGGUUUAGGAGUCAUGCUCAGGGGGAAAGGCUUUUGUAUGAAUAUUUUGGAAUCCAAGCCCUUCAAUAUCCGUGGUGCCCCCGGGUUCUGAUCAACCCUGGAGUUAUAUGUUUUCAUUUUAUUGUCGUUUGCCUCGAUCCUCCUUUCUCCUGACUCUAUUCAUUUUAUCAGUUCUUCGAACAUCUUAACAAUUUCGGGAUUAGUCCUCGAUUCUUGCUCAUUUGACCUUACUAUAACUGGGCCCGUUUUGUGGGUGACUUCUUGGAGAGGACUAGUCUCGAGUCUGGUCGGUGCUUGGGUUUGGCUCUGCAACUGGGCUAUUUCUACUUGUUGAGAUUGCAACAUCUCGAAGAUCAUACGCAAGCUGAUUCCGUUUUCCUCAGCAUUUUGGGUAUUUCGAGCUGCAGACCGAGUUCCACCAUGAAUGUUGUUUUCAGGGUCGAAAUGUUGGUUCGCCUCGAUGGCCGCAUGUGAAUUGACGUCUAUUGGCUCUUCGACCCGAGCUCCAAGGGGAUCGACUAGUGGCCUUCCACCCCCGGGGGUUAAGUUGUUGUUCUCAUCUUGAAGGCCAGCUUCGUUGUAGAUGGGUAGGGACAUUAAUUGAGAAUUCAUCGUUUUCAACCUGAAAUCAAAGAUACUUCCAAGAGCAAGUGUAAAAUGGUGUGUUUUGUAGAGAUCCAUACCAAACAACCACUAUUAUCCUUAGCCCCACGGUAGGCUCCAAACUGUUUACCUGAAAAAUGGAUAGAGUUGAAUUUAUACGUAGUUCUAAGGGUACGUGGUAUAACUUGGCACAAAUCAGAAAAGUAAGUAGCAAUAUAUUGGGUAUUGACUAUAUGAAGAAUGAAAUACCAACCAAAUUAAAAUAGAAAGCUAUUUUAUGAACAAGCAAGAUGAAUCAAUGAAUAUAUAUCACAAGAGGAUAAUCUCAAUAUAAAUAUUAGUAUAUUUUUCUCUGUGAAUAUCAAUAAUAUGAGAGUGUAUCAAUGCCUUAAAAAUGUCCCCCUUCACAGAAAUAAUAGUUACCCCUCUUAUAGUGGAGGAAUCUUACUUUAGAUAUAAUUAAAAAUACAUAUUGGGAUACCAUUAUAGAAUAGCUUUUCCUUAAUUCCCGCCGAGAUUCUCUCUCCUUAGUGCGAAUGUAACGGCUCUUGUCCCUUGGCUCGAUCUUGAUCGGACUUGGCUCGAUCUUGAUCGGACAUAGUAUUUGUUGGUUUCUAGAUUUAGAGCCCGAUAUUGACUCGGGCUCGAUAUUGACUCCGGCCCGGUAUUGACUCGGGCUCGGUAUUGAUCGGUCUCUGGCUCUCAAGCUCGAUGACGCCGUUUCGCAUCAUAGUUCAAUUUGGAUUAGAGCUCGGUAAUGACUUCGAGUUCGGUAUUUGAUCGGUCCCAGAAAUUCUAACUCGGUAACCUGGCUUCGGAUCUCAUACUUGAUAUUAUGAAGAUGACCUUCGGUCCAUUAUGUUCCAACCUUGACUAAUCAUAUGAAGGUUGAAACCGAUUUUGACCGUAUAUAAUGGUAAUGGUCCAAAAUCAUAUAACAACGCAACAAUCCAUUUUUUCAAUCAUGUGAGAGUCAUAACAUAACAUCUUGCGACAUUUUAACCUACAAAUCAAAAUUUUGAGUCACUGUGAGUCAAAAUUUUGUUUCAUAAUGAAACAAGUGAGAAAUCACUCUUUAUCUGUCAAGGGUGAAGUCUAAAACAAGAGAGAUUUUGGUCCCUGAAUUAUAUAUUGUCUUAUUCCUCUUUUAGUCCUUGCGUCAUUCGACUAAGUACCUCUAACUUUUAAUUUAAUUAAUUGUGUAGUUUUUAUCCCUAAGCUAAUAAAAGCUAACUGAACUCUAUUAAACUAACAGAAUAUUUAUUAAGAAAAUGAAAAUACAUAAGACAAGGUGACCCUAUGUCCCUUUAUUUGUUUGUUACUGAACGAAUUUGAGAAAAGAAAAAUCUUGAUUGAAAAUAUUUUCUGUGUAUAUCCAAUGAAUGAAUGUUAGGCUAUUUAUUUACAGCAAAUGGAAUCUAAGAUAAAACUACCUAUACACUUGUCUCUUAUUCUAUUGGCUACUCUAUAACAAACUCACAUGCUAUUUACAAGAAUAAAUAAUGUGUGUAAAAAUAGAAACUUAAUCUUAUCUUCAGCUUCUUCUAGUAGGCCCAAAGAAGGAAUUAUUCCAGUGAGCCCAAGAUUGAAUGUGAGCCCAAGAUUAGUGCAAAAGCCCAAUUUUUCUAUAAGCCCAAUGAAUGUGAGUCUUUACAAAGAUGUUCAGACAUCAAAUGUAUCGAACAUCUUAGAAGACCACCUUACCUUCUGCCAAAGACUAGUUCUUCAUCUUCUUCUUUAUCUUUGAGCAGAACUCCAUGAAUCCUAGAAUUAGAAUGUGGUUUCUUCUUCCCAACAUCCCCCCUUAAGUUGGAGGGUAACCUUGUGGCCCCCAACUUGCUUAAAAUCUCUGAGUGAGAAACUCCUGAAAGUGGCUUUGUAAAACGAUCCACCAAUUAGUCUUUAGAAGGAAUAAAAGAUAGGGUAAUUAGGCCGGAAAGGAAUUGUUGACGCAAAAAAUGACAAUCAAUCUCCACAUGUUUUGUGUGUUCAUGAAACACGGGGUUACGGGCGAUGUGAAUAUCUGCUUUGCUGUCAGAAUGAAGAGGAAUGGGAAAGUUUACUGGUGCAGAGAGAUCUUCAAGAAGUUGAACAAGCCAAGUAAGUUCUGCAGUUACUCUUCUUAUAGAUCUGUAUUCUGCCUCUACAGAUGAUGAAGAAAUUGACACUUGCUUCUUUGAUUUCCAGGAAAUGAGUGCUCCUCCUAGUGUGAUGAAAACGCCACUUGCAGAUCUUCUGGAUUCCUUACAAGAGGCUCAAUCUGCAUCGCAAAAUGCAAGCAAGGAAAAUGAUGGUGUUGCUGAGAGAAAAAUCCCUUGUCCCGGAUCUGAACUCGAGUAUUUCAACACUCGCAAUGCAGCAGUGAAAUGAGAGAGACAGGGUCUCUGCAUGUACUGGUUGAGAGUAAGAACUGCAAAGGAGAGAUCUGGGUGAGUGUUAGUCAGAUAGUUCAAUUUCCCAACUAGGUGAAGAAACACUGUGGGAUUUUGCAAAGGGUGCCCAUCAUCAGCUUGAAACUUAGAGGAAGGAUCAAGAGGAGAAGUGACUCGAGCCAAGUGAGAAACAUCAAAUUCCUGCAGCAUGUCCAAGGUAAAUUUCCUUUGACUUACAAUGAAACCUUCUUUUUCUCACAAAAUUUUCAUCCCUAGAAAAUAAUGUAUAUUCCCUAGAUUUCUUUACCUUGAACUCAGUAUUUAGAAAACCUUUGAUAUGCUGAAUUUCUUCCAAGUCAUCUCCAGUAAGUAGAAUGUCAUCUACAUACACAGCUAGAAUAGAUAUUAGGUUUCCUGUACGUUUAAAGAAUAAAGAGUAAUCAUUUAAUGAUAAAGAAUAUCCCUUAAACUCAAAGCCCCUGCAAGCCUGGCAUACUAUUGCCUAGAAGCUUGCUUCAAUCCAUAUAGUGAUUUCCUUAGAAGACAAACAUGCUUAGGACUAGGAGGUGUUAAACCUAAUGGAAUCUCAUGUACAUCUCCUCCUGAAGUUCACCAUGCAAAAAUGCAUUGUUGACAUCCAAUUGAGACACAUUCCAGUCUCUUUUAGCUGCAAUAGUGAGUAAACACCUUAUAGUUGUCAUUUUCACUACUGGUGAAAAAGUCUCACUAUAAUUUAUUCAUUCUCUUUGUACAUCCCCCCUGACCACCAGCCUUGCAUUCAAUCUCUCAAUUCUUCCAUCUGAUAGAUGUUUUACCUUAUACACCCACUUAUAAGGUAGAGCUCUUUUCCCUUUAGGUAAUUCAACCACAUCCCAUGUGUGAUUGUCUUCUAGGGCUUUAAUUUCUGAUUCCAUAGCUUCUAUCCAUCCUGGGUAUUGACAAACUUGUCCAAAACUGGUAGGUUCUGUGAGUGUAGAAAUGGACUGCACUACAUGUUGAUUGUUAGGUGAUAGAGAGGAGAAACAGUACUGCCUAGGUCUACUUGGUUGAUUGAAACAAGCAACUCCUACUUCUGUGAACAUGAUAUUGUUGCACAUAUAAUCUCUCAAGUAGGUUGGUUGAUUGGAAACCCUUCCUGAUUUCCUCAUUGGUGUAGGCUGCUUAGGUGCAUGAAUAGGGGAGUUAGUAUGUGGUGUAUCUAGGAUAGGUUGAAAAAGAACUGGGCUAGGAGAUAGUUGGGGAUGAGGAGAAGUAUAUGAAGAACUUGGUGAAGGUGGAGAGAAAAUGUCAGAAACUUCAGGCUCUAAAGAAAUAUGUGAGGAUUGAUCAUGUGAUGGAGGUGAAUAGAUAGGUUCUGUGGUGAAGGUUGAUCUUGGGAAUAUGGGUUGGUGUGAAGUUUUGCUCUCAACAAAAAUAAAAUGCGAUUCAUGAAACUUCAUAUCUCUUGACACAAAUACUCUUCUUGUUGCCAAUUCCAGUAGCUUAUAUCCCUUCUGAGGAAGGGGAUACCCAAGCAAGACACAAGUUGUUGCAUUUUUAUUAAAUUUCCCUCUUCCUUGAGCCAGUGUUGAAGCAUAACAAAGACAUCUAAAAUUCCUUAAAUAAUCAUACUUGAGCUUUUUCUGAAACAAGACUUCAUAUGGUGUUUUUCCUUUGAGAACACUGGAAGGCAUCCGAUUAAUAAGAUAUGUGGCAGUUAGGAUAGAUUCACCCCAAUACGACAUAGGUAGUUUAGAUUGGAACAUUAACCCCCUUGUAAUCUCUAAGAAGUGUCUAUGUUUCCUUUCAACAAUCCCAUUUUGUUGAGGAGUUGCUACACAAGACAAUUGAUGCAGAAUUCCUUGAGAAGCUAGGAAAGUAGCCUCUUGUGUACCUUUUCCCAAUUCCAUUGCAUUGCCAAAUCUUAUUACCUUGACGUGUACAUUGAAUUGCCUCUCAACCAUCGACAGAAAAGAUUUAAGCAUAGGAAAAGCAUUGCUCUUUGCACUUAACAAGAAUGUCCAUGUUCCUCUACUAUAGUCAUCUACUAUAGUAAGAAAAUAUCUGAAACCAUUGUAAGUAUUUGACCUAUAAGGUCCCCAUAUGUCAACAUGAAUGAGUUCAAAUUUAUGUUUGGACCUUAUGAUACUGACAGGAAAAGGAUUUCUGGUUUGCUUAGCCUUAGGACAAACAUCACAGAUAAAUUCAGAAUUUGGCUUACAAUGAAGAAAAUCUAAAUGUUUUAUUGCUAAAAAUGGGAUGUGUACCAAUAUUACAUGCCAAAGCUUAAAAUCACAAACAACAUUAACUUGAACUGGACUAUAAAAAGAAACUGACUUUGAAAUGGAACUUCUUCCUUUUGGAAUUGAAAAUACAUCACUAUUGAACAAACCCUUAGAUUUAACACUAUUUGGGUCCAAUAAAUAGAGUCUUUCUCUAACUUCACCAAAACCUUGAGGACUCUUUAUUGAAAGGCCCUGCAACACACACUCAACAGAUAUGAAUAGGACAUCAUACUUGAACUAAACACAAAACCUAUGAACUGACAAUAAAUUAUACUUGAAUUCUGGAACAUGUAAUACAUCGCUCAGAAUAUGACCAGGUAGAAUAUAAAUACUCUUUAUAUGAGUAACAAUCACCUUUAAAGAGUUAGGUAAACUGAUAUUUAAAGGUACAGGGAAUGGAGUCAAAAGCAAGAAAGAGUUUGGAUCAAAACGUAUAUGCUCUGAGGUACCUGAAUCAAUGAUCCAGGUGUCUGAUUUUAGACUGGUAAAUACUAAACUUGAGUAUUUUAGAAUAGUACCAGCAACUGCAUUAGUAUUGAUUCCUGCAUUUCCUGCCUGUGCUAGCUUUGCUUGUUUAUAUAUCUGCAUUAUUUCUGCUACCUACUCCUUGCUGAGUUGCUGUCCAAAAUUAUUGUUGUUGAGGUCAGUGUUUUGCUGCUGAAUUUUCAUGCUCCUCGUGUGUCAACACUGCAUUUGCCUUAACUUGAUUCCGAUAGCCUUUGUGAUUUGUGAACUCAAAAUCUUCUGGAAACCUAAUAAUUCGGUAAAAGUCUUCUUGUGUAUGUCAUGUUUUUCCACAAUAAGUGUAAGACACAUUUGGAUUGUACUUCUUCUUCCCUUUGAACCUCUGCUGAGGUUUAGCAAACCUCUGUCCUGAGUUGUUGAACUUAGGUGUCAUGGAUGUUCCCUUCUGUGCUUGGUUUCUGAGUUUUUGAUAAUUCUUCCCAUGUUCUGUGAUCAUAAAAGCUGCAAAAUCAGCUAGAAGUUGUGCAUUAGGUUGAUUGUCCUCUCCUGCUGCCAUGAAUGAUAUUGAUUGAGAGUUAAAGUGAGCAUUUGCAUAAACUUCUCUUUGAUUUUCAUCUUGUAAGAGAAGUGAAUAAGCAACAUCCAUACUAGGUAAAGGAUUCAUCAUAAGAAUGUUUCUUCUUGCUUGUGCAUAGAUGUCAUUUAGUCCCAUUAGGAAUUGGAUCAAUCUUUGAUCUUAUAGGAACUUAGUUAAUUUUGUCUUUCCUUCACAGACACAAACACAGGAGCAGCAUAUGAUAACAUUCAAAGUAUCUAAUUCAUCUAAUAGUCGUUUGAGCUUAGUAAAGUAUCCUGCAAUGUCAUUGUUUCCUAGUGCUAAUCCUAAUAACUCUUUCUUCAGAUGAUAAAGCUUAGCUUCAUUUGAUCUCCCAAAUCUCUGCUCUAGGCUGUCCCAAAGCACUUUUGCAGUUUUGGAGUAAAUCACGCUAUCUGCAAUAUCUUUUGAGAGUGCAUUUAGGAUCCAAGAGAUGACCAUGUCAUUCACACAACUCCAUUGCUCAUGUUCUGGGGACUUCAGAUCUAGUUAUUGACAACCUCCACUGAUGAAGCCAAGUUUCUUCUUGGCUGACAAGGACAAGAGAAUAGAUCUUCUCCAUCCUGGAUAUCCUCUUCCGUCAAAUAUAGUAUUGACUAGUGUCAUACCAGGUGAAUCAGAAUUGUUGAGAUGAUAGGGGUGAUUGACAUCAUAGCUCGCUGGUUUAGCAACAUUGCUCGCAUCACCAGUAGUUAUUUCUGCCAUUUUAGAUUACUGAUUUUGAGAAUGAAUGUGAUGUAAAGGAAUUUUGAUGAAUGGAUUGUUGUAUCGAGAUCACUGGUCUGAUACCAUGAACAAAUUUGAGAGAAGAAAAAUCUUGAUUGAAAAUAUUUUCUGUGUAUAUCCAAUGAAUGAAUGUUAGGCUAUUUAUUUAUAGCAAAUGGAAUCUAAGAUAAAACUACCUAUACACUUGUCUCUUAUUCUAUUGGCUACUCUAUAACAAACUCAUAUGCUAUUUACAAGAAUAAAUAAUGUGUGUAAAAAUAAAAACUUAAUCUUAUCUUCAGCUUCUUCUAGUAGGCCCAAAGAAGGAAUUAUUCCAGUGAGCCCAAGAUUGAAUGUGAGCCUAAGAUUAGUGCAAAAGCCCAAUAUUUCUAUAAGCCCAAUGAAUGUGAGUCUUUACAAAGAUGUUCAGACAUCAAAUGUAUCGAACAUCUUAGAAGACCACUUUACCUUCUGCCAAAGACUAGUUCUUCUUCUUCUUCUUUACUCUUUCAUUCUUCUUCUUUAUCUUUGAGCAGAACUCCAUGAAUCCUAGAAUUAGAAUGGGGUUUCUUAUUCCCAACAGUUAUUGCCACGGAGUAUUUGCAAAGGGAACUUGCACAGCUGACAAAGAACAAAAACUUCAAAUUCCAUCCCAGAUGCAAAAAAGCUAGGAGUGAUUCAUAUAUGUUUUGCAGAUGACCUAUUGAUGUUUUGUAAAGCUGAUAUUACAUUUAUCAUAUUGCUGCAACAGACAUUCCUCAAGUUCUCAAGCUCAUCUGGCCUCCAAGCAAAUACAGAAAAGAGUUCUAUCUAUUUAGCAUGCAUCUCAAACAGUCAAAAGCGGGACAUUAUACAAGAACUCGAAUACAUUGAAGGUACUCUACCAUUUAGAUAUUUAGGAGUACCAUUAGCAUCCAAGAAGCUGUAUAUCAUCCAAUGUUGGCCACUAGUAGAGAAGAUUACAUAAAGAAUUUGUAUACGGGUAUAAUCGAGCUCGAUGCUUGAUCGAACAUAUGGAACAAUAGGUCAAGGCUCGGCACAUACGUAAGAGAUCGAAGUUACAGAUAUAACCGAGCUCGAUAUCGAGGAUCGAAGUUUGAACAAGAUUAUCAUAUUUGCCCUCGAGUUUAUCGAGGGCACGACCGACCCUGCUUCUAACGGCCUCGAAGAAAUGCUUUGCCAACUCAUCCAAUAAAGAUUUGUGAUUCUCACCAUUAACCAAUCAUUAUGGCAGAAAUCACGGGAUUAAGUCAAAAAGGGAUCUAGCGGUCUGCAUAAUUUCUUAUAAAAUAAUGUCUUAAAGGCUUCAUCUCCCUCGAUAUAUAAAGGGAACUGAGUAAUUCAUGAGGGGGGUAACAUACUGCAAAGAACAACAUACUAUCUUUUUCAGCUUUGUUCAAGUUGUUUUGGCUUCAAUAAUAUUUUGGUCCCAAUAAUAUCACUCUUAAAUUCAAAGGAAGUUAACUUUGCAAGGCUUAAGUUGUUCAAUCUGUGUGGUUUGCAUUUGUGUUUCUAUUUAUUUUUUCAUAUUAAAUAUGAUUUCUCACGUUGUAUCAAAUUAUAUCACAUAUCCUUAAAACCACGUAUAAAUUCAAUUGUUAUCCGAUUUUGAGGAUAAACGGAAUCAACAGUUGGACAUCCAAAUUGCUUUCAUAUAUUGGUAGGCUGCAACUUAUCAAAUCAGUCUUGUUUGGGGUACAAUCUUAUUGAGCACAGACCUUUCUAUUGCCUAAAAAUGUAUGGAAAAUGAUAGAAACCAUUUGUAGAUCCUUCUUAUGGUCUGGCACAUCUACUCUAACCAAGAAAGCACUAGUUGCUUGGGAUAGAGUAUGUUGGCCACAGGCUGCUGGGGGCCUUAAUGUAAUGAAUUUGUACUAUUGGAAUAAAGCAGCAGUUGCAAAACACCCGUGGCAGUAGCAAUGAAGAAGGACUGCCUAUAGAUUCGGUGGAUUCAUACCUUCUAUAUAAGGAAUAAGACGGUGAAAAAUACUCCAAUACCCAAGAAUGCAGCCUGGGUAGUAAGGAAAUUACUGGAAACAAGGAAAUUUAUUGUUGAGCUACAAGGUAUUCAGGGGGAUCUGAUUAGUAGGCUUCUCCAACUACAAAAGGGUGAAGUCUUUAGUGUUAUCAAGCUCUAUCACAUGCAAUUCCCUCAAAUUCAAAGGGUACCUUGGAAGAGUAUAACCAUGCAACCCAAUCUACAUCCUAGAUAUAAAUUUAUACUUUGGUUGGCACUGCAUAAGAGAUUAGCCACAGUGGACAGACUACUUAAAUUUGGAAUCCAAGUCCCCCAACAUUGUGUAUUAUGUCACCACUCUCAUGAACUAUUUGAACAUCUAUACUUUGAAUGUCCAAUAGUAAAAGGAAUAUGGACUAGGCUGCUCAAUUGGCUAGGCCACCCUAGACCUAUUCAGGACUAGUAAGGUGAAGUACAAUGGAUAAAUAGAGGUGCAAAGAGGAAAUUUGGUCAUUGGGCAAUUGUAUUUUGUGUGUUUGGCAUGCUGGUUUACAUAGUAUGGAGGGAAAUAAAUAUGAUUAGAUAGAAAUUGUGAUGCAUAUACAUACCAGAGGAAGAACAAUGUAGAACUGGCAGGGAGCACUGUAGCAGCUGGAUUUUUUUCCCCUAGUUUUCUUAGACUCCUCUCACAUGAAAUUGUUUUUUUUCCUUUCCGGGUGGUUUUAAGCUGAUGCAAACUGACUAUAUACUGAUAUAGUGCUUAGAACAGUAGACUUGCUGUAAUUAGAAGAUAGAAGUGUAGAUGGUCAGAAUCUACUUGAUCUGUAAAGCUUCUUUUUUUUUUGAAUGAAUAGAAAGUCACUAUUUACCACAAAAAAAAUACAUAAGAAGAAAAGGGCAACGAGGAGUAGAAGAGCUUCACUAUUAUUUCAACUUUCAAUUCACUGCUAUGAACUGCCCCAUGGCCAACAGAGCAUCCAUUACCAAAGGUGGAUAUAUAAUUUAAAUUUUAUGGGUUCUAACUUUUAAGAUUUUAGCAUUGAAUGCAUAGUUUUUUUUUAAAGUUAUAGGUUCAGACUUAUCAUUUGUGCAAUUUUAAUAAUUUUUUAUAUAAAAAUUUAUGUUACACAUCGAAAGUAUCGGAUUCAAAUGAACCGGCGGCCAAACACUAUAUCCGCUCCUGCCAUUACAAUAAAAAAAUUAAAUUAACAUAUCUAAAUGCAAAAGUUAAAAAAGAGUGACGAGUCUUUGAACUACUCCAAUCCUCCACUUCACAAGUAAUAGCAAGACCAAGUCUCCGUAAAUUAAGUCCGUCCAAGCAUAUCCAAAAGAACAUUUUUAGAUCCAACAAAUACUACCCCUUUAGCUUUAGGCCCAAUCCAAUAUAUACCACUCGAUAUUUUCAAGCCCAAUCAUAUUACUAACGUGUUUCGCCGGAAGUAAAAACCAAUGGCCGGAAAAGGAGAAGGUCCGGUGAUCGGAAUCGAUCUCGGAACCACAAACUGUUACGUCGCCGUUUGGAAACAUGAUCAUGUGGAGAUGAUCACCGAAGAUUGCGGUGGGAGUGAGCUCGCUCGUAUGACGCCGUCCUACGUUUCUUUUGUAGAAGACCGGCGUUGGAUUGGUCUCAGUCCUAAGCUUGGCAUCGAAAAUAACCCUACUAACACUGUUUUCGGUAAACAUUUGAUUCUCAGAAUCUCUUUUUUUCUUUUCAUUUACGUUUAUUGAAAUAGUGUGCGUUCUCAUUCGUAAACAAUUGCUUGGAUUUUAUAGUUACAUUGCAUCAGCAUGCAGUAGAGUACGUGAUUAGUGUCUUUUUUAUUUUUGUUUUGUUUUCUUGUGUUUAUAGUAGUGCUAUAAUUAUAUAAAUUGUACGGAGGGCGGAGCUAGCUCUUCGGUUAAGAAUUUGGUCCAAUCCAAUAGUUUUGCUCCAACCAGUGGGUUGGCGGACCCAGGAUUUUGUGCAAGGGGUUCAAUCUUAGAAGUACAUAACUUUAGUCGUAAAAUAGUAGUUGUCAAGUGGGUUCAACUAAAAUAUUUAAACAAAAUUUACGCAGCUUUAAUCAUAAUGUAUACAUAUACACAGUAUUAUAUUUUAAUGAAGCGGGUUCAGUUGAACCCGCUUGCCACCACGUGCAUCCGCCACUGGCUCCAACCCCUGUAUUUGUCUUAAGAAAUCUAUUGACUGAAUAUAAAUUAUUAAUUUAGAACUCUAUAACUUAAAAAGACUAGAAUCCUGAACUCAUAAGUUUCAAAUCUUGGUUCCGCAUGAGUAUGAUAUUAGUUUAUCUUUUAUGCUACAAUAAUGGAGGAUGCAGUGUGAGUAUGAUAUUAGUUUUGAUUUAGAUCGUUUCUAUGAGAGAUCAAGUUUUGAAUUUGCAACUUACUGUAUACUAUUUUCCUGUAUAAUUUUCAAAUAUUUAGACUUUAAUUAAAACAAAAAGUAAAUUAAUCUAGGUCGAUUUUAACUUCCAAAUAUUGUCAAAAUGAUUCUCGAUAAGCUAAAAGUGCCAAACAAAUUUGAUAGAGAGAUUAGUUUGUUGAUGAUAUAUAUGAAAUCGAUCAACUUCGUCUUAUAUGGUUUCACAGAUAGAUUUGUUUUUGAAUUGCAACUUACAGUACCUUUUUUUUAUAGUUGUCGAUAAUCUAAAUUUUAAUUUUAAGAGAAUGAAUUAGUAAUUAGCUCCUAUAGUUAGUCAAAUUCUUUCCUAUAAAACAAUAAGUUGCAAAAGAAAUGAUUAGCUUAUUCACUAAUUGUACCUUAGCACAUUGGCAGAUGCAAAGCGCCUUAUUGGAAGGAGGGCUAGUGAUCCCUCUGUACAAAGUGACAUGAAAAUAUGGCCAUUUAAAGUUAUUGCUGGACCUGGUGAGAAGCCAAUGAUUUGUGUAGACUAUAAGGAAGAAGUAAAGCAGUUUACUGCUGAACAAAUCUCAGCUAUGUUGCUUAUAGAGUUGAAGAGAGUUGCUGAGAAAUUCAUUGGAUCAACUGUCAAAAAUGCAGUGGUGUCUGUACCAGCUUGCUUCAAUGACUCGCAACGUCAAGCUACCAAAGAUGCUUGUGCUAUUGCUGGUUUGAAUGUUAUGCGUAUUAUCAAUGAGCCAACAGCUGCAGGCAUUGCUUAUUUUAUGGACAAAAAAGAUAGUAAUACUAAUGUAGGAAAGAAGAAUGUGCUUGUUUUUUAUCUUGGUGGUGGUACUCUUGAUGUUUCUGUUCUUACUAUUGGAGAUAAUAUAAUUGAGGUGAAAGCCACGGCGGGGGACACGCAUCUUGGAGGAAAAGAUUUCGACAAUAAAUUGGUUAAUCACGUCGUCCUGCAAUUCAAGAGAAAACACAGGAAGGACCUUACGCAUAGCCCUAAAUCAUUAAGCCAAGUAUGGACAACUUGUGAGAAGAUGACACGUACUCUUUCCGACAAUGACGAGGCAAUAUUUGACGUCUACGACCUAUACGAUGGAAUUCCCUUCGGCUGCAACGUCUCGCGUGCCAAGUUUGAGGAGUUGAACGCGGACCUCUUUAAGAAGUGUAUGGAGCCAGUUGAGAAAUGUUUGAGGGAUGCAAGAAUGGACAAGGAUAGUGUUGAUGAGAUUGUACUUGUUGGUGGAUCAAGUAGAAUUCCCAAAAUACAACAGCUAUUGCAGGACUACUUUAAUGGUAAGGAACUUUACAAGAGUAUUAAUCCUGAGGAAGCUGUUGCCUAUGGUGCUGCUGUACAAGCUGCGAUUCUUAGCGGAGAGGUUAGUAAUGAGAAGAUUCAAGAUUUGCUGAUUUCGGAUGUCACGCCUCUAUCGAUAGGAUUGGAAACAACAGGAGGAGUUAUGACUAUGUUAAUUCCAAGGGACACCACAAUUCCUGCUAAGAAAGAGAGGAUAUUUUCAACAUAUUCAGAUAAUCAAACUGGACUGUCAAUUCAGGUUUACGAAGGAGAAAGAGCAAGAACAAAAGACAACAACUUGUUGGGCAAAUUUGAGCUCUCUGGUAUACACCCUAUUCCUAGAGGUGUACCUCAGAUAACUGUUUCCUUUAAUGUCGAUGCCAAUGGAAUAUUGAAUGUCUCCGCUGAGGACAAGACCACGGGUCAGAACAAAAAGAUUACAGUUACGAAUGACAAGGGUAGGCUUUCGAAGGAAGAGAUUGAAAAGAUGGCAAAGGAUGAAAAGCAGUACAAGGCAGAUGAUGACAAAUACAGGAAAAGAGCAGAAGCUGAAGAAGCAUUGCAGGGAUAUACCUCCUUCAUACACUUGUGGAUCUUGGGCGAGGAGAAUAUUGUCGCGCAGCUUAGCGCAACAGACAAGAAAAAGGUUGAGGAUAUUCUUGAACAGGCUAAUUCAUGGAUUAAUACCAAUCCAUGUGCAGAAACUCAUGAGUUAGAGGACAAGAAGAAGGAACNNNNNNAGCUAAUCCAUAUCUUCUCGCUUGAGACAUUGUUGAUCUUAGAUAAGAUUUUAUCAACUUUGAUUUUAAAUUUUUGUUUUCCACGAUUGCAAUUGUUAUAGGAACCGUGAAUAUUAUUCUAUAAGCAAUAUAGGCAUCUGAAAAUGAAUAAAAAAAAAUUAUCUGAUUAAGUAUAUCGACUAGAGUAUUAUCUUCUAUUUGUGCUAUUUUCCUUAACACUUUUGAUUUAAAAAUAAGUCUGAACAAUCAACAUCGAGUGACUACUAGUAUGUUUUAAGGAAUUUCUUAGAUCAAGACAAUACUUUUUAAGAUUCUUAUCACCCAGUGAUCUUAAUUUUUAACAUGUAAUUAAAAAUAUUUUCAUACGCUUCGAGUUGUUCAUAUCUAUUUUGAAGUUUCCUUGACCUUUUUUUAUUAAAAAUUAUACUAUUUUUCUAAUUCCAUUUAUUUAAUAUUCCUUUGGUGUCAUUGACAUAAAGAUAUCGUUUCUAGUCACCCAAAAUUUUGGAGCCAAAACUCGUACACGGUGUUUGGCUAUCGGGAUAAGGAUACUAAUCUCGUGAUAGAAUAUGUGAUUGUAUUUAUUCUAUUUUUGGUUAUCGCUAUUAGUUAAUGGUGGGAUAAAUUAUUUUAGAGAAAAUACAUUGUAUAGCCGCUCUCAAAAUAAUAGCCGAAAAAAUAUAUAUUUUGGGUAUAUUUUUUGUAUAUAUAUAUACAAAAAAUAUAUAAAUUUUAUACAAUUCUGCGGCUAUAGGAUGUAAAUAGUUUCGGUUGCAAGCUAAAAGUGAUUUUUGCCCAUUUUAUUUUUUACAAAAAUGAUGGUAUUAGAUAUCCCAUAUAGAAUAUGGGAUAGCUAAUCUCAUGGGAUACUCGACACUUUGCAUUAUCAAAUAGAAUUCUAUGUUUUUCCUCACCUCAUGUAUGAGCUUAUACGCUUCGAAUCAAAAAUAUUUUCAUACAUGUAAAUAGAUGAUAUCUAUUUUGAAGUUUUAUUUACCUUUUUUAAUUAAAAAUAUACUAUUGUACUUUAAAAUACUCAAUUUUAAAGAAAAUUAAUCCAUAACCUAACACUAGUAAAAAACAAUGAGGGGGCAACCCUUAGAGGUCCUUUGGUAUCGGGAAAAGAAUAUUAAUCUCAGGAUAGAAUAUAGGAUUGUAUUUAUUUCAUGUUUGGUUAUAACUAUAAUUAAUGGUGGGAUAAAUUUUAUACUAAAAUGAUGAUGUUACAUAUCUCAUAUAGAAUGUGGGAUAACAUCUAGCGAGAUAUUCUAGCUCAUGAUUUAGGGGUUGUCUGAUUCAUAUUUGGGAUAAACAAACUAAAAUGGAAAGGUAGCUUUACUAAGGACGAUGAUGCUUUUGGCAAACAGAAUAGAUCGAAUUUUUGAAAUCUCCUGCUACAAAUGCUUGUGGUUUGUUUAAUCUGAUUCGUAGCUAGUUUAAAAUUUUAACCAUUUUCCUCAUAUAUUGGGCAAAAAGUUUCCUCGUGUUCCUAAGUUCCUUCAGUUAUGAGUAAAAAGUUAUUUCGUUUUACAAACAUCAAAACCCUUAUUUAGCUUUACUUGUUUCAAUCACCAUCAAGCAUUAUUGUUUAAAAUCCUUCAAAUUUCAAAAUUAUUUUCUAUUUUUAUUUUGGGUGAGAAAGCUAUCUCCUUUACUUUGUUAAAUGUUUUUGCACAUUGUAGAGAAAACAAGGAGAAAAAACUGGAUAGCAAUUCGUGAUCAGAUUGCCCAAAAUAUUUAUUGUCGUUUAAUGGUUUAAGUUAAUCAGCAAAAAAUAUACACAUUUCUUAUUCAAUUCCGCUACUAGGGUGAGCUAACUCCAAAAAAUCCGUCCACAAUUUGAAUGGGGGGCAACCAUGGAUGGUACUUCUCGACCCUGUUUCCUAGUAAUAAUUUCCUCUAUAAAAAAUAAUUUGUGUAAUAUUUAAUUAUAUUUUGUACUUACAAACGUUAGUCAAAUUAUAUAUUAGCUUACCAAUAAAUAGUUUCUUCAAAUAAUAAUCUUAUCAAAUCAACUUUGAACUAAAAAUAAAUUGAGACAUGAAUUAUUUUGUAUUUAAAUCAAUCUAGAGUGUGAAAUCUUUCAAUAAUCAUGUUCUUAUUAGUGUGAAUUAAGGACAUAUAAUUUAUUUUAAUAGAAAAAGGUGUUAUUAAGAUUUUUUACCAAGUACUGCUUAUUAUAUAACUGUCUAUUUAUUAAAUAAUUAAGUUUCCUUGUUAGGUAAUGCAUUUAAGAGUUAUAGUUUACCCCUUAACAUACCAAAGAAAAUGGAUACCAAAAUUAGAUUCUUUAUGUAUGGAAAAAUAAAUUGGAAGGUUACAACUCAAAUGGGAAAUCUUAAAUAUGGCAAAAAUGAACAUGUAUAGAAACUUAAUUAAAUUGAUGGUAAUUUUACUAAUUUAGAUCUUUACACCUACCUCUUCCACUCAAUGAACAUUUUCUUCCCACAUUAAUGCAAAUAUCAUCUCGAGAUUUUACAUUCAACUUUACCCUAAUCGAAAUUGCAAAAUCCAACAAUCAAAACCGGAAAAGGAGAAAUUAACAAGACAAUGGCGACAUCUACUUCUUCCUUAGUAUUAUGUCUAAUUAUUGCUUCCUUAUUGGCACCAAGUAAAAGUAACCCCUUGUCCCAAGUGUGUAUCAAAUCGAAAAAUCCAAGGUUUUGUUUAGAAGUCUUUGGUCUAAAUCCUCAUAGGAGUCCUCAUGAGUUGACACAAGAAGCCCUCAACUUAGCCGUGGCAAACGCCUCGGGAACAGCCACAAAGAUUGACAUCUUUCUAGAUCGAAACGAAGACGGUAACCUAAAAGUGAUAUAUUCAUUGUGUUUGAAUUAUUACCAAGCGGCCGUUGAUGUUUUAAAAGCUGCAGAGGAGUUUUUGAUACAAGGUCAAUAUAGUAACGUAAACACAGCAGGAAAUAUAGUAGAGGAAGAUGCUUCAAAUUGUGAGAAUGCGUUUAAAAAGGUACCAGGUAAUUAUGUGUCAACUCUUACUAAGGACAAUGAGAACCUAGGAUUUCUUGGUAGUAUUGUUGUGGCUGCUGCAGAUGUUCUUUCUAAUUCGACAUCGGCCAAAAAUUAAUAAAUGUAUGUCAUGUGUUACCACAAGAAUGCCAAUUAAUAAAUGAGAAAAAAAUUGUCACUUCAGAUUUUCCAUUAAUUUCAGGGGAACAAUUAUUUUUUUCUUUCAAGUUACUUGUUUAACUCCAUUGUAAUUCUCUUUUUUUACUUAAUUAAUCAGAUGAAAUUGUCUUUUAAAUCGUUGAUAUUUGACCUCUUCACGUGUAUGAGCGGAUGCAGCCGUGCCAAUUUUAAAAGCUUAUAUAUAUGUUGGAAAAUUAAUCCAAAAUUGAUGUAAGAAAUUCCUAAAUUGUUUAAGAUUUUAUAUUUGUUAAUUUACGUUUUUCAAUGUCUAAAAGAGGAUUUUUAGGUUACCGCAAAAUUUUAAGAUCAUUAAGAAUUUAUGAGAUUCUAAAUACAUUAUUUUUCCUUCAUUAUAUUUAUAUUAAAUUUGUAAGACUACCAUAAAACGGUAAUGAUAUGGCACACUUGGUGGUUUUAAACCUUUAUUUGGAGGUAUGCAUUCUCAUCUCAUUUCUGAAAGGCCAAAUACAUAUACAGCCCCUCUAACUUGACACGAAAUUUCAUCUUGGCACCUCAUCUUAGCCAAAUUCCAAUUGAACACUUCAUGUACACCUAAACUGUGUCAUUUAAACCCUUAAAUGAUAGCCGUAAAAAAAUUAGUAUGCGUGAACUUUACACACAGCGACCUGUCAAAUGUAACAAAUAAGGAAACACCACAUGGCUUUUUAGUCAAACUAAUGCCAAAAAUAAGAAGAAGAAAAGCUUUUGAGCCUAAAGAAAACGAAAGAAAAUUAUUUUUUAAGAACCCCUUCUUGAGUAUCAUCUUCUCCACCAUCAACUCAGAUUUUUAUCAUUUCCGACAUCAAAACCCUUCAACCCUUUUUGCUCCACCAUCUACUAAUGACUCAACACCACCACUUCAAAGUUCUAUUUCCAAUUCGCAGACCGUCUCUAUAAGUUGUUCGUCUCUGUAAGUUGUUGAGAAAAACUAGCACCAUAUGGGUCUUAGAAUUUUAUCAUAGACCACAAUGAAAAUUAAGAAUAAAGACAAAAGACAAAUAUGAUACCGCAAUUGUGCUGCAGAUUUCAUUAGGUGAUAAAUAUUUUAUUAUUGGGGCAGGGUGUUGUAAGAUCAUUGCAGAACAUUUUUGAAGUAUAUUUGUGUAAUAAUAAUAAUAAUAAUAAUAAUAAUAAGCUUAAUAAUUUGUCAUCAAAUUGAAAGUUAGCUUUUGGUCCAUUUUUUGAUGUCUUAUAGAGGUUAAGCUCCAAUUGUAUAUUAUCUACCUAUUUUGCCAAGAAUGAAACGGGACCGAAAUUCUGGAUUUCCUAUAAAACUUUUCAAAAGUUCUCAAAAUCUUCUCUGAAAAAAAUGAUCUCACAGGCUUGUUAAAAACUUCUCUUUCGAUAACUCAACUUCCUCUUUCUUUUUAUUUUGUUAAAAAAUAAUGAAAGAAAACAGUGAUCUGUCAAGAAGAGAUCGAAAAUAGAAAGAAGAAGAGGAGAUGUGCAGUAAAAAAAAAAAAAAAGUAACGUUUUAAGGAAUGGGACCCAUUUUAUAUUUGUUAAAGUCAUUUUACGCACGCUAGAUAAAAGUGAGAAAUAAACAUUGAUCCAUGUCAGCAUAAUUGUUUAAUUGUACAGUUUAAUGAUACUUAAAGUGUUCAAUUGGAACUUGGUUAAGAUGAAGUGCCUAGAUGGAAUUUUGUGACAAGUUAUCUAUGUAUUUGGCCUUUCUGAAAUCUAGUGCUACAUGAGACACUUUCUUAAUAAACCCCAAUAGUGUCUCAGGUAAAUAGAAAAGGGGACAAUGGGGUAAGGCAUGUGACACUCAUUUUGACAAGAACAGACUUUUGAUUGAAGAGUCUUUCUCUCUCUUACAAAGAUACAAACACUACAUUUUUAUCUAGAUUCUUGUUCGUAUUAUCCCACACCCUUCCAUCAGAUCCGAGAAUAAUUCGAAUAUUUUAGGAUUUGUUUGUCGCUCAUCAUUGUCAUGAGGGAUAAUCAACUAGUUCAUAUUUUAUUGGGUAAAUCACUCAUUUUAUUUACUUAAAUGUCAUUUAUUGUUAUUUAUUGCUAGUUGUUGCUACAUUAUUGCUCAUACAUUUUGGAACAGUUAAUGCAUAUUAUUGUCAAUCCUCCACCAGAUCUGACCAACAUUAGUCACCUUUUCGGAAAUAACAUCUAGAGAUAUUAUUAUUAACUAAGUUUAACUCAUUAUUAUAUAAAUUCAACUGUUUAAAUCGAAAGUUACAUUUUUUGGUCAAACAAUUGAAACUCUUAUCCUAAAUAUUUUCUUUUUCUUCUUUGUUUUUUAUUUUCUUUAUAAAGAAGUUCUUCAAAAAAUUAACUGUAACAUUAGUAAAAGGGCUUGAUUUAAAUAGUAACUAUAUAUUAUCGUUUCUUUAUAUGAUCUCUUCUUUUUCUACGACCGCAUAUGGUUAAGGAAUGAUACACUUGUCUUGCAUCGAUUGUAUAAGAGCUUCCAGAGGGGUUUAAAUUGUUCUAUGUUAAUCCUCCCAUUUUCUAAAGGUUUUGGAUUGAAACAUGCUACCAUUCUUUCAUAUACGGUAUCAGAGUCAAAUUUUGAUAAAUCUAUAUGUACAAACAGUUUUCUCUCUUCAUCUAUAGCUCUGAACUUCAAUUUUCUCUCUCAACUCAACUCAUGGAGCUGCUCUAGACUAUGGACUUCUUUUUUAUCGUGCCAUAACAUUGCUUCAAGCUCCCUCAUUAGCAUGUUGAACCUAAUUUGGCUUCAUCUAUUCUAGGCCCACUUUUGUUGAGCCUUCUCUACUUAAAAGAAUAGAUAUAUACAUAGAGAGAAUAUACAACAAAAAUAUUAAUUCAGUCCAUGAGUAAAACUUGUAGCUAGAAUCAGAUUACAUAAGCGGGAUGGUACUAGAGAUUAAUAAACACUUGUCCCUUAUUGAUUAUCUUAGAGUUGCCUCUUUAAAGGGGUUUAAAUGGUCCUAAACUACUUUUGUUUUUUUUAAGGCUAUCCAGCUCCUUUAAGAGCUUGGAUAGACAUAAAUAAACAGAUCAACAACAAAAUACAUUGGAGGGGAUCUUCACCUUACCUCUAUUACUAUGCAGGUUACAAAAUGGUGGAUAAAUACAUGUAUGCCAGCUCACCAAAAUAGCGAAUUGAGAGGGCUACUAACCCCUCCUCUGUAUUGCAUAAUUACAAGGCAUAAUACAUAAACAAGCCCUCAAAUUUGGCCUCAACUUGCAUGUAUGCCCUCUAACUUUGGGUGUGCACAAGUAGGCACAUCAACUUGUCUCCACUAUGUUAGUUAAAAACUCUAACUUAUAAAAGAUCAUCUAGACACCUCUAGAAUUUAUGUGUCACAUCAUGAUUUAAAUUUUAUACAAGUUUAGGUACCUACUUGUGCAUACCAAAGUUAGAUGGCAUACUUGCCAGCUGAAACUAAGUUUGAGGACCUAUAUUAGCAUCAGGGAACAUUAAAUUGAUAUCUUCUUCCUAGGCUCAUGUCCAGAUAAAUGGUAUUCUUGAAUUAUUUCAUUCUAAAUAAAGGGAAUUGCAAUAUGUCCAUUCUGUAUUUUCCUCUAGCCUCUUUUCGAAGUUGUUGCGGAUUGCGAAAUCAUGUCAUAUGUGCUUUCAAGUCAUAAUUAGAUAUGAUAUCAACAACCUUAUUUCUUUCUCUAUAGUAAUGUGCUAUUAUCCUAUCCUCCCUAAGUUCGAGUUUAUUUCUCAAAUCUAGAAUUAUGUCAGUUAAUUUUCAUGGAAUUUUUAAUUUUUCAAGCAACAGUUAACCAAUCUAAUCCAGUCUUCAAAGCCAAUGAUUCUGCCAUAUUAUUUAUGGUAGUACCAAAAAGGAUUGCAUAAGCAGCUAACAGUUCACCAUUAUGAUUUCUAUUAACCCUCCUCCCGUGCGCACUAAGGCGUGGGUUGCCUUUCGUGCAGCCAUCAGAAUUGAUCUUGACAAAUCCCAAGUUUGGGGAUUCCAUUUAACAUAGGUAGAGGAGAUGGACAACUUAGCAUAAUUCACUAUCAGAAAAGUUGUCAGUCAGAAAGGAUAUUCAGUAUAUAUAUCACUGGUCCUAAACUACUAGUGUGUUUGUUUCCUAAUUUCAUGAUGUUUUUGACUUUUUGAGUAUAAUUUCUUAUUACUAAAUGUAUGGGACAUGUACAGGGCAUCUUUCAGAAUGCAGGGGGGAGGGGGGGAUAGGUUUCAAACAAAUUUAAGUUAUAAACACUAAAAGUAUAAAGAUAUUUCUUACAAGAUCAGUGAACCAAAACUCGUAAUUUUACCUUUUUUACAAGUAUAUCAAUUAUUAAUGUUUAUCAAGAAUUUACUUAAAUUUUUAUGAUAAGUGAUAUGAUUGUACACUCUUCCGAAAAUAUAGUAGGAAACCUGAGAGCUGACAAGGGUUUUAUUUCAUGAAUUUCUCUUUCUUUCGUCAUCUUGAGAGGUUUUGACUUAUAUGUGUAUUCUAUUAGCCUUCUAAUUAAAUCGUGAUUAAUUUCGUAAUACCAUCAAGUACUAAACCUACUAUAGGUCAUUAUGGCCGAGAGACAUCUACGGAGCAAAAAAAACACAAAUAGACAAUAUUUAAGAAAAUAAUUCAAAAACCUAAUAGCAGAAGGUAUUUUACAUGACACGACAACUAAAUAAAUAUAUUCCUUGGCAGAAAGCUAUAAGCAUCAAUCAAUAAUCACGUUUAACAAAAAAUUCAAAGCAUUAAGUUCCUAAAAAAACGUCCAAAGCGAUUCAGUUUCCUAAGAAUACGCAAUACUCCUAAAAAUAAGAACAUAUAAAUGGAAAUGUAUUAGGAAGAUAAUUUUAAUCCAAAAAUAACUUCUUCAUGUAGGCAUAGUAUCCCAUUCUUUGAGCGAGAAUCUUCUGUCACAAAAAGAAUUCAAUUCAAUAAAAAGGUUAUUUAUAUAAUAUUAAAUUUUAAAAAUUUAUUUUAUUGUAUAUUUAUACAUAAGGAAUAAUAAUGGUAUAUAUAAGCAUAUAAAUAUAAAUUUUUGUUACUGUUUGUACAUAAAAUAGAUAUUGAAUAAUAAAUAAUAUUUUCCUCACAUAUACAAAGUAUAGAUUUUAUAUAACAAAUAUACAUAAAAUAUAUACAAAUUUUAUUAAAUAUACAUAAAUUAUACAUUAGAUACAUAAUACAUACAUCGAAUAUGUAUAAAAUUAUACAUUUUUUAAUAAUUAUGCGUCAAAUAUAUACUACAUACAUAAAAUAUAUGCAAGUAUUAUGCAUUUCUAUUUGAGAGAAUAAUAAAAAUGUGAUUUUAAGAGCAACUAUUAAUUAGAAAGAAAAUUUCAUAGAAAACGUAAGCUUGGAAAGCUCUGAUUAAUGAUGAGAGAAAAUUAUGAAUAGAUUAAUAUGGCUCAAAACCAAUCCUUUAAACUGUGGGUUUGUGUUGAACGGUUUAUGUUUAAGAAAUUAAAGGCCAUUAAAUAAGGUGAAGAAUCUUUAAAAAUGUUAUAACUGUAUAUGAAUAUGCUAUUUUUGUAAUAAAGCAAAAGUACUAUAGUUGUAUAAAUGGUUUUUAAUAACAGUUCUACCGUGUAAAAAUCUCAAAUUUUUAAGCCUUAGAUUGUUUCUUUUAUAUUGUUAUUCAUCUUUUAUUUACUUUCAAGUCACGAAUUUAUUACCAUUACGAUGCAAAAGUACAAUUCGAAGGAGGGUAUUGCCCGGCUUUCUUUUACCUUGCCGUUAGCAAAUUAUCACAUAUUUACCCUUGCCGUUGACGGAGCUCCAACAUGAAGCGGCAGGGCUUUACGUGUCCAAAUUAUUUGAGAAAAAAAAUAUCUAAAUUUACCCUCAACUUUUUUACUACGGUCUUUAAAAUUACUCUAAAGUUGGAACUCAAGACAAAAUUGAAACUUUUUCCUAACGAUGGAAGUAACAUAAGUAAUAGAGCGUAAAGUUGCUCAAUUACUGAUAUUGCAGGGGAAAAAUUGACUACUUUCUCUAUUGAAAGUGCGAGUUUCGAUAGAUAUAAGAGAGAUUCUAAACAAGUGUAGCUAGUCAUAUAGGCCUCUGGCAACAAUAUUUUGAAUUUGCUUUAUUACUCUCAUGGAAUUAUGGCCUAAUCUGCACCACUCAUAUGGCAAACGGGGCAGGGGACGGGUGCAGGGCGGGGCAGGUUUAAAGUUAUGCGGGUGGGUCGGGUAUAUGCGUGUUUAAGCAAUUUUUCUUGUUGGUCUAUUUGAUAUUCUGCAAAUUAUCUGCUAAGUGCUAACCCUUGCCACUUUUGCAUUGCUGGAAUCACCGUCAACAUUCCAGAAAUUUUUUUUGGUUGGUCUAUUUGAUAUUCCAGCAUUUUAUCUCAAAUUUUUCACUCUUCUCAAUACUUGGUGCCAUUAGGCAAAGACAGAAGGGAACUUGACUGCAAGAUCCACCCGUCGAAAGAAGACAAGUUGGCCAAAUAUUGCAAAGUCUCGAUAUUUAUCACCGAUCAAGAAGGAAACCCAAAAGGACCUCGAAUAUUUGGUGCACUAAAGAAUUGAGAGAAUCAAAUUUUACUAACAUAGUUUCACGACGGCCAUAUUGAUACUUGUAGUGAUACACCUAAUCCCCAAUUAAUAUUGUGCAGUAUCUUUUUUUUUUGCUAAGGAAAGGAGUAAUUUAUAUUUAAAAAAACUAAGAGGUCUGGUUAUUACAUAACAUGGGGGUAUAUAUACCGCAUAGCGAUCGUCCCCAAUCUGUUUUUAUUGAAAGCAUGUAAAACAAAGGCCGGAGGAGUUUCCCAGUAUGUUAUGGUGUCUUCUUACAUCGUUAUUGAUUGCCUGGUACGUCCAUACUUUGCUAGAGUGUCAGCCACAAAGUUGUCUUCCCUACAAAUAUGGUUUAUAGUCUCCGAUCCAAGAGCAUCAAGAAGAAAACCACAAUUAUUAAGAAGAUGUGAGAAUCAAGUUUGUUCAAUCUUAAAUAAAUUAUAUAAUACCUGCGAAUUUAUUUUCACUAUAAUUGGAAAGAGAUUUUUUGUGAAGGAUAGUUCCAAUCCAGUAAGUAGUGCAAGCAACUCGGCGUGUAUUGCAGAAUUUGUAAUCGCUUUCUGCGCAAAGCCCAUAACCCAUGAGCCACUGUGAUCUCUAAUUAUUCCACAGCAUCACUGGUUUGGUGGGUCGGAUCGUAAGCACCAUCGACGUUUAGCUUGUAUUGGCUAGUAGGUGGUGGGAACCACCUUUCUGUGACUUGCAGCCGUGGUUUUGGAGAUGUUAUAGUCUGAGUGAGUGAGAGGUAUUCUGCUACUUGAAUCAUGAUUUUUUAGCUGCACGUAGGGGAUGAGGUCUGGUUAAAGAGAUUUGAAUUCCUAUUAAUCUAAAUGUUCCAGAGGAUGAACGGCAUUAUGAUAGAGUAUGGUGCUUUGAAGGAGGCAUUUGGCGUUUGGAUGGAAGCAUUUUUGGUGGACUUAUCCUUUAUCCAGUUGGCAAGGUUGUGUGGUUGGGGUAUGCAUAAGUUGAAUAAAGGCCAUAAGUGACAGGAGUGCUUGCAUACAAAUAAGAUGUGAUUUAUGUCUAGUACACUAUUUAGGCAGAAUUGACAGAAGUUGAUUGAAGAAUUUUCUUCUGGUACAGGAAGUCUCUAGUAGAGAGCUUGUAGUGUACAAAUAACCACAAGAAAAAUUUGUGUUUGUUCAAGCAGUUGAAGUGCUAAAGCCAAGAGUAAUUAACAUGUGUGGGUUAUGGCAGUUGGUUGGUGACUGGAGUUGGAGCAUAUAUGUUGAUUUAGUAGUAAAAUUACCAAGGGAUGUUUGGUUCCAGAAAGAUUGGUCGGGUUUGUUGGUGGAGAAUGGAAUAAUAGUGUGGUUGAUUAAUUGUAUAGUAGUAGGAUAUAAGGAUAAGGAUAAUCUUCCCAUAGUCCACGAAUGGUUUGAGAUAAUUGAUGAUACUGUUAGUUGUUCCUCCAUGUGUUGUAAGGGGACCUGGAUCGUGUGGCGCAUGCAGCUAUUGUUUGGGAGCCAGUUGUCGUUCCAGAGGUUGAUGGUUGAUCCAUCCUCUAUGUUCCAAGAGAGCCAUGUUUGGAAGAGGCCAGUGGCUUUGGUCAUGCUUUUCCGUAUGUAUGAAUCAGUUGGCUUAGCCUGGUAUGUUCCUCAAUGUCUAUGUUGAACAUAUUUUGCUUGAAGUAUUUUGGCACAUAAGAAGUUUGCACUCAUAUGGGAGUUUUUAGCUAAAAUUAUCCCUUAUUUUUUAGGGUAAGUCUAACUUUAUCAUUUAUCUAUUGCCCUGAGCACUUAUUGUCCUUUAAGUUUGCUAAACUUGAGCAGGUUAGUCCAUUUAAUAAAAGACCCAAAGGGAGACCUAAAAACUACCAGUGAUUUCACUUUCACUUAGUCAACUGGUAAAGAAACUUUCGGUACUCAAAUUUUGCAGAACCGAUGUAGUGAACCUAAACUUUUUUAACGGGCCGGGUUGACCCGGUUCCGGACCGCCCCGGACUGAUGGAAGGGGGGCGGGUAGGGCUGUGUUUGGGGGGUUGGUCCGUAUAUAUUUUUUUACCGGUCAAACUCGGUCAAUGAAAAUUACUGUUGAACCGGUUAACCAGACCGGUCCAGUUGAAAAAACUAGUGACCGGUCGGUCACCAAUCCUGGCCGGUUAUCGAGUUUUUAAAACCGGGCNNNNNNNNNNNNNNNNNNNNNNNNNGGCACAUCCGGUAAAAAAUUGAACCGGAACGAUUUUGGGCCUAAUGGGUCGGGCCAGGUUCUGGGCCUAAGGGCCCGGCCCAGCCCAGCCCUUUAUCACCUUUAAGAUUGUAGAAACAAGUGUGGUAAUUUUAAAAAAAAAUUAAAAAAACAGUCGUUGAACCGAGUCGGUCCGGUUAACCGGUUCAACAGUAAUUUUCAUUGACCUGGUUUGACCGGUCUGGUUAACUGAUAAAAAAAUAUAUACGGACCAACCCCCUAAUCCCCCAAACCCAACCCUACCCGGCCCACUUCCACCGGUCCGGGCGGUCCAGUUUACUACCGGUCUAGACCGGUCCGGAAUCGGGUCAACCCGGCCCGUUAAACAAGUUUAGGUUCACUACAUCGGUUCUGCAAAAUUUGAGUACUAAAAGUUUCUUUACCCAGUUGACUCAGUGAAAUCACGAGUAGUUUUUAGGUCGCCAUUUGGGUCUUUUGUUAAAUGGACUAAACCUUCUCAAGUUUAGCAAACUAAAAGGACAAUAAGUGCUCAGGGUAAUAUUUAAAGAAUAAAAUUAGACUUAACCCCAAAGAUGAGGAACAAUUUCAGCUAAAAACUCCUCGUAUGGAAAUGCCAAAGUAACCCUACUAGCAUAGCAUAAUUUUUAUCAAACAGUUUUAUAUAGUCACAAGUCCCCCUAGUAAUUUGGGAGUGAUUCCGUCUCCCAACUGGUAAGGUGGAUUUUCUUUUUUCCGGGGUUGAUCCCCACGGAAAAUUUCUUUGGAGGUGACAAAAUUCUAGGUUGUACGUACCACCAGCUAAUAAUCGAUGCAGACUAAAUUAUAAAAGAAUGUACCCAACAUAAUGAAUGUCAUUAAAUGAGAAAAACAGUAUAGCAUUGCCAAAAGAUGCUAGAACGUCGCAGAAAACAAUGUAACACAAUGAAACGUUGGGCUAUGAAACAAAGAAAACUAUAAACUCUCCUACAACCAGGACCUCAAAGUGCUCUGUGAUUCUCGUUUAUGCAAAACUUUGUGCACAGCUCUCUAAGCGCGAACCCCUCUGUUAAGAUUAACCAUGCGACCUGAUCCAUCCAUCUGACUUCCCCUCGNNNNNNNNNNNNNNNNNNNNNNNNNNNNNNNNNNNNNNNNNNNNNNNNNNNNNNNNNNNNNNNNNNNNNNNNNNNNNNNNNNNNNNNNNNNNNNNNNNNNNNNNNNNNNNNNNNNNNNNNNNNNNNNNNNNNNNNNNNNNNNNNNNNNNNNNNNNNNNNNNNNNNNNNNNNNNNNNNNNNNNNNNNNNNNNNNNNNNNNNNNNNNNNNNNNNNNNNNNNNNNNNNNNNNNNNNNNNNNNNNNNNNNNNNNNNNNNNNNNNNNNNNNNNNNNNNNNNNNNNNNNNNNNNNNNNNNNNNNNNNNNNNNNNNNNNNNNNNNNNNNNNNNNNNNNNNNNNNNNNNNNNNNNNNNNNNNNNNNNNNNNNNNNNNNNNNNNNNNNNNNNNNNNNNNNNNNNNNNNNNNNNNNNNNNNNNNNNNNNNNNNNNNNNNNNNNNNNNNNNNNNNNNNNNNNNNNNNNNNNNNNNNNNNNNNNNNNNNNNNNNNNNNNNNNNNNNNNNNNNNNNNNNNNNNNNNNNNNNNNNNNNNNNNNNNNNNNNNNNNNNNNNNNNNNNNNNNNNNNNNNNNNNNNNNNNNNNNNNNNNNNNNNNNNNNNNNNNNNNNNNNNNNNNNNNNNNNNNNNNNNNNNNNNNNNNNNNNNNNNNNNNNNNNNNNNNNNNNNNNNNNNNNNNNNNNNNNNNNNNNNNNNNNNNNNNNNNNNNNNNNNNNNNNNNNNNNNNNNNNNNNNNNNNNNNNNNNNNNNNNNNNNNNNNNNNNNNNNNNNNNNNNNNNNNNNNNNNNNNNNNNNNNNNNNNNNNNNNNNNNNNNNNNNNNNNNNNNNNNNNNNNNNNNNNNNNNNNNNNNNNNNNNNNNNNNNNNNNNNNNNNNNNNNNNNNNNNNNNNNNNNNNNNNNNNNNNNNNNNNNNNNNNNNNNNNNNNNNNNNNNNNNNNNNNNNNNNNNNNNNNNNNNNNNNNNNNNNNNNNNNNNNNNNNNNNNNNNNNNNNNNNNNNNNNNNNNNNNNNNNNNNNNNNNNNNNNNNNNNNNNNNNNNNAAAAAAAACUACUCAGAUAAAUGAGUCAGCUGAAGGUGCAAUCCGAUAUAAAAUAUAUGAUUAUUUCAGUUACUAUGAAUUUGUUCUGACGAAUUUGGCUAAAACUGAUGGAAUUAAUUUAAAGUUCUGCGACGUUCUUUUGAUUUUACUAUUCCUGGUUUACUCCCAAGCAUCCUUCCAAAGAACAAGUUUUGCUAGUUCCGUUUUCGAGACAUUAUGUCAACAGUUAAUGUCCAAAAUCUUUUAAAACAACAAAAACCUCUAAACUCCCACAUGUGUGAGGAAUGGUUCCCAACAGGUUCCUUCUACCACACGUGAAGAAAGAAAAAUAAAUAACAAAUGAUUUAAUUCUAAGUUAUUCAAGUAUAAGUUUUAGUUCCUUUAUUUACCCAACUCUCUGUUCAGGUCCACCACCUUCACCUUACACAUUUCCUCACUUCAUCAAAUUCUCUUCUAAAACUUUUCUUCUAAUUUUGUCUUCUCUCCAAAUUUCACUUUUGUCAGCAUUCAACCACAAAAAUGGUUCAAGCAAAGUGUAACCAUAUAUUCUUCAAGCUCAUGUCUUUAGCACUAUACACCCAAUUUGUGCCCUGAUAUGCUUCCAAUUCUUUUUCUAAUUUCCCAUAAUUUCCUUUGCCUCAUAGCAAUUUCCUCUUUCAGCCAUCACAAAAAUACAAUUCCGAAGAUAAUAUCACAAAUUUCACCUAUCUGUCUCUAUUAGAAGGACUCUCACUCUGCAUUAUUAUACUGUCAAAUCCUAAUUGCCACACCUAUCAACUCUUGGCUCUUUUCUCAUUUUCAGUUAAAUGGUUGCCAAGAAUUACGACUUCUCACUCGCAGUAGUGGAAAUGGCAUGGAUUAUGCUAAGGAUUGACUACUGAGGAAUCCUUUGGGUUCUUUUUGGCGUCUUCUCUUAUGAAAACCAUGAGGAAACGCCACAGAUUUAAGUAGAAAAAGUUACAGAGUAUUGCUCUUUUACGGGAUUCUAAAACUACAACUUUAGAUACCCAUGUAACUCAAUAAGUAAACCAACAAAUAAACUGAUCUUUCUUUUCGAGUUUAAACUAGAACCCACUUUCUUGUUGAACUGCGCCACACAAACACUCUGAAACAGAUACUAACUACUACAAAUAUGAAGUACAAUAAAGCAGCUAAUCUCAAAACAUAACAAAGGAGGAACAUAAGGGCACAUAAUAAGAACAAAUUUCUUACAUAAAAGAAAAAGAAUGAAAAUUUUCAGCAAAGAAACCUGUUCUGGGGUCUUCUCAUGAUAUCGACUUUGGGAGACACCUUGCGCGAGUAACUCCUUCACCCGGCCGGCAGAAUAGAGUUCAGCCAAGCAGCCAUGCGCUUCUGCAACAAGUGCCGCCCUGAAUGCACAGAGACCGAGCUGAGCCAUGGCUCUGUUGAAAAGUAUCUGAGUUGAAAUGUCCAUGUGCUGGAUAUUAUCUUGUAAGUGACUCAUCAAUAACAAGUCACGGGAUACUGAAAACUCAUCCAAGAUAGCAUGGUGGUAUAUAUCACAGAGCAUUGCACGGGCCUUGGUUCGUUCAUCCCCAUAUUUAUAUAUGAGAGAAACGAGACUGUCCAUCACUGUCCUGCUGUUCUCUUCAAAAGCAGGUUUCCUGGGCACAAGCUCUGGAGUUGCAACAAAUGCAGUUGGACCUCUACUCUCCUCAACCACUUUGUUUUCUUCUACAGACUCUGCCUCUCCUUCUCCUUCNNNNNNNNNNNNNNNNNNNNNNNNNGGUAAGCUCAGCCAACUUCCUCAUAGCAUCAUACACUCCUUGUGGUUUAUAAUAAAUGAAUUCAACCUGUUUCAGAGCCACUUUUGCAGCACCCUUGUAGUCUCCCGCACGUUCUAAAUAAUGUUGGACAUUUUGAGCAAGAACCAAAAAUAACGGCUCAUCCCUCAGCCUCUCAACAUACUCACGGGUAUGUGGAUCAAUUACCUGCAAGCUCUUGAAAAACUCUACAUCUAUCCUUUCAACAAAGGCAACCAAGUUUCCCCAGAUCCUUAUCGUCCCCGAGUGGUCUGCUCCUUUCUGGGUCUCAUUUUCAUCUGGCUCCACCAUGUCAUCAACCACAAUAUUUGGGUAUUGGGUCAAAACAUCGAGGAUGGUAAGCAUAUUCUGCACGCACUUUUUCCACACAUUUAUAGGCAUGUGUCCACUGAGACUUGGAUUAACGUCAAACUGGGCAGAUACAACACUAAACAGAAUUUCAAGCUUUUGUGCUGGAGUCUUGGCCACCUUGGUCAAGAAGGUGAGCUGUUCAACCAAUUCAAUCUUUCCAGUCCCCUUUCUACCCCUAGCGGCAACAAUUUCCUUGAACUUCUUGUUGACCGUCUCCCAGGUGAUUUGACUUGGAUCCUUGAACUGUUUAUCCAAAAGUUUUUCUUUCUUGCUCAGCAUCUUCUCCCACCCGGUACCGCUCUCGGUUGUCUCAUCCCGACUUUCAUCUUCGUCAUCUUCCUCAUCAGACGCAGCUGCAAUCUUUGUUGGGUCCUCCUCAAACUCAUCUUCAUCAUCCUCUUCUGACUCUUCUGACUCUUCAUCAUCACCAGCCUCAUCCUCACUCUCGGGAGGAUUUUCCCUGUACUUGUUAAUCAACUCCUCAUACUGCUUGUUAUUCUUUUUCAGUUUCUGUUUCAUCGAAUUUAAGGCUUUAGCAUUACUACUACUCAUCUUCUUCUUUGCCUCCUUAUUGGCCAAAGCCUGACUCAAGAAAUCCUCCAGCAUCACUAGAGCUUUGAUAUAGAGAUUUGGUGCUUUAACCGAUUCUGUAAUGCGCAUGACCUUCUCCAGCUGCCUAUUGAUCUUAUCAAAGCUCUCCUGCAAGCUGACCCAGUCAUUAAUCUUCAUAGCAUUCUUCAUCUGAUCAACGGUAGCAGACAAUUCCUCAAAGCGCUUAUCCUUUGCUGACCGGACAACUCGCUUCUGUCCAUCUGACUCAUCACUGUCGCUGUCACCAGCUGCAAGGUAUCUUGACCCAGCCGCUGCAGCGGUAGUCUCAGCCGGCCCUUCGUCAUCCUCCUGCUCGUAAUCACUCUCCUCCUCCUCCUCGGUUUCACUAUCGCCCUGCAAAUACCAUAGUAUGAAUCAAUUAAAUAACACCUUCUCUAAACCCUUAUACCUUCCCUAAACCCUUAUACUUUAUGCAGAAUGAGCUAUGCCCAACAGACUGCCAUAUGCAAAAUCAAAUCACUCAUCAUAGGACCUUACUUUUCUAGGUUCACUAAGCAAUUCCUUCUGAACAGUUUAAGAUUAUAUUUCACAUCACACUGUUUACACAAACAAGUAAAUUGCUUUUCAGCAGAAUAGAUGGCGAAAAGUGUGAACAAAUACACAUUAUCGUGAUUUGUAUCCAAAGGUCACUUAGACAUUGAAUAAUUGGAUUAUGAAAUUGCAAUUCAAAACAUCCAGAUGCAAGUAUCCAUUCAUUAUGUUCGGGCACUUUUUACAUCCAAUUCAAAACAACCAGAUGCAAGUACAAUCACAUAACAAUAUAUUAUGCCUCAAUCAAAAGCUAGCUGGGGUCGGCUAUAUGAAUCAUCACAAUCCAUUUAGCUCUAUAUAGAUCAGAUUCAUUCCAAUAUUCAAUAAUUUAGGAUUAUCUAUCACUAGAGUUCACAUAAAUUAAUUUAAAAAUAUAUCUUUAUCAAUAGUUAUCAAAAAAAUAAAUCUUUACCACUGUAAAUUGGUGAAUAGAUUACUUUACUCAUCCAAACACAUAAAGAAAAAACUAAAUCUUUAAUUGAGGUGAAAAAAUCAUUUACCUGAGUCCAAAAACGGGACGCCAUACUUCUUCAAAAAAUUCUUCGAGAAACGGAGAUAGAAUGAGCUGCAAUUACUCAAAAUAAAAUAUCAGAUUGUGAAUAAAUCAACGAAUGAGUUUGCUACUUCAGCAGUUUUACAAACACCAAUUUUGAAGAAGAAAAGAUUCGAACCUGUAAGCUGGAACUGUGGUUUACAGAAAGCUUAGCGGAGAAAGGGAAGAGGGAAUGGAAUUUUACAGUAAAAACCCUAGAGAAUGAUAAGGCUUGGUCCGACUCGGCUUUUGGGCUUUUAUGGGGUGGGAAUAUGAAGUCACUAAUCGAACAAGGCCACGGCCCAAUGUAUUUCGUUUUGAGAAAACUAACCUCUAUAGCCCCUCAAAAUUUUAAUAAUCUAUGUUUUUUCUCACUUACACGAAAUGGCCCUUCGGCCCAAACAUAUUACAUCUAAUAGCCUGAAAUAUCUAUUUAUAUAUGUUUUAUAUAGUGUCAGUUUAUUUUAUAUAUUUAUUGUAUAGUGAUAGUAUAUUUUGUAUAUAUUUUUGUACUAUUUAGUAUAUAUUUUGUAUAGUGACUAUCUAUUUUGAAUAUAUUUUGUAUAGUGACAGUAUAUUGUAUAUAAAUUGUAUAGUGACAGUCUAUUUAGUAUAUUUUUGUAUAGUGACAGACUAUUUUAUAUAUAUUUUGUAUAGUGAUAGUCUAUUUAGUAUAUUUUUUAUAUAGUGACAGUCUAUUGUAUAUAAAUUGUAUAGUGACAGUCUAUUUUGUAUAAUUUCCUUACACUUCCAUGUUUGCCCAUUAGGGACCCAUUAAAUCUCGUGAACACAAACUUCAGACAAACACGGCAGAAUUCUCAACCCAUGCGGCCCACAAUCCAAAAAGGAAUUUAAGUUCUAUAAAUUAAUAUAAUUACAUAUAAAUUUUAACCACUUCUGUUAGUGUAAAGAUUGGUGGUUAAAAUUUGCCAAAGAACAAGAAAUAUCCAACUACUACGAGUUAGUAUAUUGAAGCAUACUCUCAUUUCAGAAGCAUCACAUUCAAAUAAAUCCAUUAAGGAAUUUCGUCGAGCAACUCCGAGGCAUGACAAUGAAGACUGCUCCAAAGUGUACAAACUAACACUCACCAGAACAGUAGGUAGCUAUCAACCUAAGACUAAUAAACGAAAAGCAUUUCUAGAAGCAAAUUAAAUCUGUCACAAAACUAGAAAACGGACAUCCGCAGACGAAUUUCAUUGAACAACUCAGAUGUAAUGACAAACUUCAAAAAACGCUGCUUUAGAGUAUAAUCGCUGAAGGAGAAUGAAGUUAGAGUUUUGAGGAGGUGGUGGUUGUGGUGUUGGGUGAGGAUGAACGGAUAGUGUGAUUUAAAUUCUGACAGCGGCGGAGGAACGGCGGAGAGAGCGGAGGAGGAUACCAUAGAGAGGGGGAAGAGUGGCAGUGGUCUUGGGCUAGUCUUUCAAUUAGUUAUGGGCUAUAAAAUGCAUACUGCAAUUUGUGGCUAGCGGCCGAUAUUAGUUUCUAGCUGAUGGCCAUAAAUGAAGUUUGCUCUUUCGUUUUCAGGCAAAAACCACUUUUCGUUCGCGCCAGAAACUAUUUGUAUCUGAUAGCUGUAAAAAUAUAUGAAUUUGAUAUAAUUUUUAUGUAUAACAAACAAAAAUAUAUAUAGAUAAGAAAAUAUAUUUUUUAUCUACUAUUUUGAGAGUUGUUAUAAGGUGUCAUUUUCCCUUUGUUUUUCUCCUUCCUUCUAUGAAUACGAACCGACGGAAUGCCUAAAAAUUCCUAAACUUGGCAUGAAUUAUUAGUUGUACCCUUAAAUUAUUUGAUACUUAAAUACCCCCUUGAACUUGGUUAUUUGAUGGUCGUUACCCUUCUGAAUAUUGUUGGGACAAAAAGGAUGAAUAUAGUCUCUUUUUAUUUUGAUUAAUUGCUUCGAUAGAUACAUUGUCUAUUUAUUAUAACUGUUAUUUAUUUUUCAUCGAGUCAAAUUUGUGAAAAUUUGGCUAAAAAUUCAUAUUUUAGCCAAAUAAAAAGUUAUAACUAAAAUAAUAGAGUACUAAAUGUGUAUUUCUUGUUAUUUUAUUAGAUAAUAUGGCUAUUUAUUUCAAUUGGGUAUUUUUAUUUUCGAAUCAAAUCAUUAAAAGAACUUGGCUACAGCUCCACUAUUUUUUAUUAAAUAAAAAAAAGUAUAGCCAAAAUAACGAUCUUGCAAUUGUGUACUUUUCUUUUAUUUCUUUGUUAUAUGUUAUAGUUAUUUUAUAUUAGUUGUGAACUUCUCUUUGUUAUAUGCUAUAGCUAUUUCUUUGGGGAUUAUCUACUCUUCAUUAAAUUUGAUAAAGGCAUGUGUGCGGACCGCAACGUCAUCCCGAGUGAGAACCUCAGGACCCAGCAUAGGCUCCUGAUCAUGGAUUUGGAGAUUAUGAGGAAGCGAAGAAAGAGGGUUGUGUUUGGUUUACCUAGGAUCAAGUGGGGAGCUUUAGCUAAAGACAGAGCCCAGGAGUUGGGUGAUAAGUUGUUGACUAUGGGGGCAUGGAGGAGUAGUGAGACACGAGUGGUAUGUGAACUGCGACUUCAAAUUGCAUUAGGGAAGUUGCUAGAUAGGUAUUGGAGGUCCCGAAGGGCUCCUCUGGUUGCCGCCAUAAGGGACUGUUGGUGGAGCACUAAGGUCCAAGGUAAAGUGGAAGUCAAGAAAGCGACAUAUUUGAAGUUUUUAGAGAGCAUGGACGAGGAAUAGAAGAGGACGAAUAGCGGUAUGAGAUGGCUAAGAAGGAAGCAAAGUUAGCGGCUACCGCGGCUAAGACUGUCGCAUUUGAACGCUUGUAUGAAGAACUUGGUAGAAAAUGAGGAGACAAGAAGUUGUAUAAGCUAGUCAAGAUGCGAGAAAAAAAGGCAUGUGACCUGGACUAAGUGAAGUGCAUCAAGAACGAGGAAGGCAGAGCUUUGUUGAAUGAUGCACUUAUUUGACAGAGAUGACAGACUUACUUUCAUAAACUAUUGAAUGAAGAGAGGGAUAAGAACAUUGUACUGGGUGACUUAGAGCACUCUGAGAGUCGUCGGGACUUUGGGUAUUGUAGUCAUAUAAAAGUUGAGGAGGUGGAGGGGGCUAUGCACAAGAUGAGCAGUGGGAGAGCGGUCAAACCAGACAAAAUUUCGGUGAAAUUUUGGAUGAGCAUGGGCAGGGCGGGCUUGGAAUAACUCACUGGGUUAUUUAAAGUAAUUUUUAGGAUAAAGAAUAUGCUUGAAGAAUGAAGAUGGAGUACAAUGAUCCCAUAGUAUAAGAACAAGAAUGAUAUAAAAAAUUGCAAUAACUAUCGGGGUAUCAAGUUACUAAGCCAUACUAUGAAAGUCUGAGAAAGGGUGAUGAAGCUGAGGGUGAGGAGAAUUGUGUCUAUUUCUGAUAACUAAUUCGAAUUUAUGCUGGGACGUUCGAUUACAAAAGUUAUUCACCUUGUUAGGAGGUUGAUAGAGCAGUAUAGGGAGAGGAAGAAGGAUUUGCAUAUGGUGUUUAUCGACUUAGAGAAGGCUUACGACAAAGUGAUGAGGGAGGUUUUGUGGAGAUGUUUGGAGGCUAGAAGUAUUAAUGUUGCAUACAUUAAGGCUAUUAAGGACAUGUAUGGUAGAUCUAAGAUUCGAGUGAGAACGGUGGGAGGGGUUCGGGACACUUCCAGUUAUGAUGGGGUUGCACCAGGGAUCAGCCCUCAGCCCAUUUUUAUUUGCCCUAGCGAUUGACGCACUUGCGCGCCAUAUUCAAGGGAAGGUGUCAUGAUGCAUGUAAUUUGUAUAUGGCAUUGUACUUAUUAACAAGACGCGAGGCGGUGUUAAUGAGAGGUUAGAGAUUGGACGCAGACCAUGGAGUCUAAAGGCUUCAAAUUGAGUAUGACAAAAACAGAAUAGUUGGAGUGCAAGUUUCAUGGUGUGACUCCGGUAGUGAAUGAAGACGUUAGUCUUGAUUCAUAAGUCAUACCUAAGAGAGAGAGUUUCAAGUACCUUGGGUCAGUUAUACAAUAGAAUGGGGAGAUCAAAGAGGAUGUCACACAUCGUAUUCGGGCGGGGCGGAUGAAAUGAUGGCUCACUUUUGGUAUUUUUUGUGAUAAGAAUGUACCAUCAAAACAUAAAGGUAAGUUUUAUAAAGCGGCGGUCAGACAAACAAUAUUGUAUAGGGAAGAGUAUUGGCCAGUCAAGAACUUCCAUCUCUAGAAGAUGAAUGUGGCUGAAAUAAGAAUAUUGAACUAGAAGUGCAUGUAUACCAUGUUAGAUAGAAUUAGAAAUGAAAUUAUUCCGGACUAGAUGGGGCGUGACCCCUAUGGAGGACAAGAUACGGGAGGUGAGACUUAGAUGGUUCGGGCAUGUGAAGAGGAGAGGCACAGAUGCACCAGUGAAAAUGUGUGAGAGGUUGGCCUUGGAGAGCCUAAUGAGAGGUAGAGGCAGACCGAAGAAGUAUUCGGGAGAGGUGAUUAGGCAAGAUAUGGCGAUGCUCCAGCUUACUGAGGACAUGACCAUGGAUAGAAAGGUGUGGAAGUUGAGAAUAAAGGUAAAUGGUUAGGUAGUCGAGUGUCCUUAUUUGUAACAAUAGCUUUAGUACAUUACUUAGUAUUAACCAUGUGUUUUCGUACUCCUAGACUUCUGUUAUUACUUGUUGUUGCUUUUGUUUCGAUUUUCUGAUUGUGUUAUCUAGUGUUAGUUUUGUUAUUGCCCCUUCCUUUUAUCUUUCCUGAGUCGAGGGUCUAUCAAAAAUAUCAUUUCUGCCUUCUUAAAGAUAGGAGUAAGGUCUGCGUACACAUUACCCUCCCCAGACAUCACAUAUGGGAUUACACUCAGGCUUUCUUUUGUUGUUGUUGUUGUUGUUAUUAUUAUUGUAUAUCUUUUUGGGCAAAAUUUGUAAAAAAAAAUAAAAAUAAAAAAAUCUUAGAGCUUCAUAAUUUAGCUAAAUAAAACUUUUUAGCCUAAAUGAUAAAGUUCAAAUUAUGUAUUUUUUGUAUCAUUUUUUACAUGUAUGACUAUUUGUUUUAACGGUGCAUUUCUUCAUUUCAAGAUAAAUUUUAAAUGAAUUUAACUAAAGUUUCAUCAAUUUUAUCUAAAUAAUUUUUUUUUUACCUAAAUUAUGGAGUUCUAGCCAAGAUGAGAUUAUUAAUGGGAUAUCGACUAUUGAAUACCCAAGUUCAGGGGAAUACCAAUUAAAAUUAUAAAUAGUUUAAGGGUGUAACCAAUAAUUCAUACCAAAUUUAGGGGGAUUUUAUUUUUAGUAUAUAAAGCUACAAGUUAUUUGGACUUCAGAUUUUAUUUUUACUUUAAAUAUAAUAUUUUAUUAAAGUUACUAAUUAAAUCCUCUUAUAAUUUACUAUUUGCAUUAUUAGAUCAAUUGUUAUGUAAAAAGAAAAAUAAUCAUUUUAUCUAACAACCGAAUAUGGUGAGAUUAUUACGUCAUUUCUCAUUUCUAUUUUGCCUUCAUUAUUCUUUAAGCUCCUCCUUUUGGUCAAUACUAAGGUUGCCUAAAAGGACGGGACGGCCCGACCCAUCCUGGUCCUAUCCUGACCCGUCUUGUGUUAGUGAGAUGGGAUAUAGUGGGUAAAGCGACGCGAGAUGGGACAGAUCGUCUAUUUUGUCCCGAUGGACCUGUCUGGUAAUGGCUCGGUCCCGGCCCGACAACCCACAAAAUAUAUUUUUUUUUAAAUAAAGCAGGUUAACCAACGACUUUAUUUUCAAAAAUAACAGUUGGCAAUGGUUAAAAACGUCAAAAAAUCCCCCCCCCCUCCCCCCAAACUUUUAAUUUAACUCUUAAGUUUAUUAAUUUAUACUUUGAUCCUAUUUUAACUAAAAAUAUCCCCAUUCUUUUUUUCACACGAAUCUUCAUUCUCUUUCUAAUCUCUUACUCNNNNNNNNNNNNNNNNNNNNNNNNNUAUAUAUAUAUAUAUAUAUAUAUAUAUAUAUAAUAAAACUAAGAAUUACAUUGCAGAUUACUGUCUAAAUUGGGGUAUUGCAGUUCCCCUAAAAUGGCCAUAUUUCGUUCAAUUGUAUCACUAUUACAUGCCCAAAAAUUCCUAACUACUUCAGUUCCUAGGAUGUCUGCCCAAAAUACAUCAUUUGCAAACAUCGGAGGAACUGCUAGCAUGGCAGUUCUACCCAAAAAAAUUUGAAUUUGGUGCCUCUUUUACCGUGCAUUGGCCACUCUAUUCUGUUCCCUGAGGUUGUGCCUCACCAUCACCUUGUCCAUCCAUUGCAUUAAUAACCCGCAUUCACAAAUCAUAGGAUUGUAAGUUGUGUUGCUUAUGAGUAGCUUUUUUAUUACUUCAGCUGAAUCUGUAUUUAUGUCUAGUGGAAUCUAGCUAUUUUGUUAUACUAGUUGUAUGCCCUUUAGCAAUGAUUUUAGUUCUGCCAUGGUGUUGGUGGUAUGUGGUAUAUUUUCCAUAUACCCCAUAAUCCAAUCUCCACUAUGAUUCCUGAAUACUCCACCAAUUUCCCCAAUGACUGGGUUGCCCUUGGCAGCCCCAUCCGUGUUGAGUUUAUAGUGGCCCCUCGUGGGGGGUUUCCAUUUAACUCCGGUAUGGAAUGGCCUCCUGAUAGCACCAUUUUGUGCCAACAUAUAGUACUCUGUUGCUUUGGAGAUGGUGUUAUUAGCACUGCUGUUAUCUCUUUUAUUAUUGAAAAGGUUAUGGUUUCUCACUAGCCAGAUGUGCCAAAAACAAAAAGGAAUGAUGUUCUCUUAUGGGAUGAUGUUGUUGAAGGAGAGCUUCUUCAGCUUAUUCCAUGUUAAUGACCAUAGUUGAGUUGAGAAUAUGGGAUUCAAUUGUUGACUUUCAGUAAAUCCCUUGGCUAGUAUUUCAUGCCAGAAGUGGGUUACACUGGCGGCAUUCAAAGAAGAAAUGGUCACUGGUUUCAGGAGUUGCUGAGAAAAAAUAAUAUUAAGGGUUGCAAUUAACCCCAAUUAUGUGCAGGAAAGCUCUAGUAGGUAGCCUAUCUUGGGCAAGUAGCCAAAUAAAUAUUUUGAUUUUGUUAGGAACUUUUAACUUCCAUAUCCAAGUGAAGUUGACUUUCUCUUCUUUCCACAAAAUCUGAUUAUUGUUGCUAAGGAAGGUAUAGGCUGAUUUGGUGGUGAAAGACCCACUUGGAGUCAACCCCCAUAUUAGCAUGUCUUCCCUGGCAGAGUUGGUAGGGAUGGAAGUUCAUUUGAUUAUGUUAGUAAUGUUCUCAGAGAUGUCUAUAGAUAUGGAAGAGAGAUCUAGUUCCUAGAAUUGUAGACAGUGUCCACUUUGGCAGUUAUGUCAUUCGGAAUUAGAGGGCCCUCAAACAUGUUUCUAAUUGCUGGAUGGUUUGGGAUCCAUGCAUCAUUCUGAAAAUCACCAUGUUUCCUUUGUGGACAACUCAUCUACUAGCCUUAUUGCAUGUAUCUCAGCCCUUAAGGAUACAUUGCCAGAUUAGAGAUUUUGGCUUAUUGGGGUAUGGUUCCAGUUAUAGUACUUCGGGACUCUAGCCCAUAAACUGGAGGUGUUAUGGUAUAUCCUCCAAGCCAUCCCAGUAUGGGAUACUUUAUUUUAAAGCGCAACUUUCUAUAAACCCAACCCUCCAUAAGACUUCUGCCUGAUGACUUUGUCCCAGCCAACCAGUGUAAUUUUUUCUUAUUUGGAGUUGUGCCCCAAAUAAAAUUCCUCUGAAUUCUAUCAAUUUGUUUGGUAGUCUUGGUAGACAAUUUAAUAUAUUGCAUAAUAUGGAUUGAGAUACUACUAAGAGAGGACUUGGCAAGGAUGAUCCUUCCAGUCAUAUUUAGAUAAUUUGUUUUCCAGCCAUCCAGUUGGAUUGCAUAUUAUCAAUUAUGAACUGGAAGUCAAUACUAGUGGGUCUCUUAUGGAACAUAGGGAAUCCUAGGUAUUUCCUAAAGGAUGUUGUAGCUUGGAUUGACAGGGCAUUUGUGAGGCAUUCCAUUGUGUCUUGCCUUGUGUUAGAGGAGAAAAGAACCUUGGAUUUGGUGAGAUUGAUUUUUUGGCCAGAAUCCUCAUUGAAUGCCUACAGGAUAAAGUAAAUUAUGGUGCAGUUCCUAAUGUUUGCUUUUGCAAAGAGGUUAAGGUCAUCAGAAAAGAAUAGAUGAUAAAUUUUUGGGCCAGACCUACUGAUACUGAUAGGGAGCCAUUGUUUGUCCUAAACAUAUUUAUCAAUUGACCUGGAGAGCCUCUCCAUACACAGAAUGAACAGGUAAGGGGAGAUUAGGUCCCCUUAUUUGAUUUCCCUAUUUGCCUGAAGUUUUUGAGCAUGGUGGCUUGGGGACACUUAGGAACGAGACAUAUACGAGUUUGAUUCAUGGUCUCAUCCGUAGAGUGUGUGUCAAAGCAUUGCUUGUCUAAGUCUACUACUGAGUUCCCCACAAUGCUCCAGUACCUUUGGUAAAAGAAGGGGUGAAGCCCAUCCAGGCCCGGUGCCUUGAAUGGCUUAAAGGAGAAGAUGGCCCUUUUGAUUUCAUUAACCUCAAGGGACCUAUCCAAGUUGUCUCUUUGAUAGUUUCGUAGGAUAUGGGUCAUGUCCAGAUGACUAGUAGUAGAAAUAGGAGCUUGUGUGUGUGAGGAAGCGUAGAGGCUCCUGAAGAAGUGCAUUAUAGAGGCCUUAAUGUCCCUUUAGUCAUAGAGCCAAUUUCCACUCUCCUCUUUGAGGGACAUGAUCUUGUUCCUUCUUCCCCUAUUAAGGGUGGAAGUGUGGAAGAAUCUAGUGUUGGCAUCACCUUCAGUUAGCCAAUUGACCCUUGACUUGAGUUUCCAUAAAUCUUCCUCAUUCUUGAGGAUGGAGUCAAGUUUUCUGAUCAGGUUACUUUCUAAGUUUAGCAGGUAAUUGUUGAAUUGGUAGUUUGGUGAUUUUUGGAUCCCGGCAAUUCUGGCCAGGAUCCUUCUCUUUUUGUGAAAGAUGUUGCCAAAUGUGUUCCUGUUCCACUGGUUUACAAGGCUUUUGAAUGUUUCACUUGAUUGGAUUAGGGGGAGUUAUUAGUUAAGACCACAUUAAUGAUAAUAGGGAAAGAGAGGUGGCUAGUCCACAUUGAUUCAAACCUGAAGGGUCUGUUUGAAUUAUUGAAAGAAUCCCCCAUUAGCAUUAUUUGAACAUGGCAAUGAUCUGAGUAGGUCCUAGGGAGGUGAUUAAUAGUAGCUUCAGGGUAAUGGGAAAUCCAGCAAUCAUUAACAAAGCACCUAUCUAUCCUUUCUAAAAUCAGACUACUCCUAUUCUUAUAUCUUUUGUUAGUCCAGUUGAAUUUAUUGCCUUUGUAAACUAAGUCAACUAGUUUGCAUUCAUUAAGGCAGUUUCAAAAUAGGUUACUACGACUUGAGUUAAUGGGGUUACCCCCAAAUUUAUCCCUAACUUUUAAGACUUCAUUGAAGUCUCCACCUACAAACCAACUCCCAAUAUUGCUUUUAGAGAUAGUAACAAGACUUUCCCAUAACAAUUCCCUAUCAGCUAAAAUGUUGCUAACAUAAAUAGCUGAAAAUAACUAAGGGGUAUGGGAUGGGAGUACCUUUACCAUGGCAUGGAUGCCUUGAUGGGUAGUGGAUACCUCAUCAAUAGUAACACCGUCCUCCUUCCAUAUUAUGACUAUCCCACGAGACAAACCAACAGUUAGAGACUAGAUAAACAUAUCAAAAUGCAGCUCAUCCGUCUGCUUUUUAUGAUCAGCCAUCUUAGUUUCUAACACAACCAGCAGCAUUGGCUUGUGAAGCUAAACCAUGUCGAGGUAGUGUCUCAUGAACUCCACACUGUUUCCACCCCUAACAUUCCAUAUGAUGUAGUUCAUCAGGGGUGGUUGGCGAUUGGGGGGCUAGUUUCUGUGAGGCUUCUCCAUUCCCUGAGAGACUUCGUUGGUUUUUUUUGGUUCCUUUUCUUCAUGCUUAGGACAAGGGUCAAAUUGAGGAGUGGUUUGGUCACACCCUGGGUGUGGUGAGAGACCAGACUCAGACCACACUUGGUUAUGGCUCUGGGACACAACAACAUAAGCACUUCGCUGCUCUCCACACUAAACUUGAUUGCUCUGACUGAGUCCAGUAGGAGAGAGUCUGUGGGUAGGGGGUCGUAGGCUGUUCCUUCCAUUUCCGGUGGCCUUUUUAUUUUUAGAAGGUCUAAGACUUUGUUGAUUUCCCUUGUCAUGUUUCCCAGUGGUGGUGACUGGUUCUUCUCUACAGGAAUAGAAGGUGAUGGAGUUUGGUAGGAUUGGGGCUCGAUAGUCACAAGCACCGAAGACGUUGUUGGGUCCUCCAUUCCCGGGUCUGGGAAGAAGGGGAUUUACUGGAACGCUUGAGAGAUGAGGGUGUUGAGCAUUGGUGGGUCAAGAUUUGGUUGCAUGUUGCCAUUGAUUGUCAUUGCUUGCCACGGGCAUGGGCCAAAUGUUCCCAAGGCCCUGUUUAGGGUGUCCAUCGUUACCCUCGCCAUUUGCGUAUGGUUUUGGACAAUCAAGGUUACUGGUUGAUUUACCAUGGUGAAAUUGUAGGUUAGUCCUUGUCCUUGAAGCGCCACUUCUAGCCAUGAUGCCGUUAAGUGGUCCAGUAGCAGUGGAAGCGACGUCACAAUGGUGGGUGGCGGCUGGGUUUUUUCCAUUUUUGUGUUUUUUUGUUUUACCUCUUUGGGCAAUGGUGUGGGUUAUGUUAACGAGCCGGCUUAUAAUGGUGCCGCUUGGUGUCAAAUCUAGAUUAGUGAAAAGGUCAUCAGUUAAUACAUCUAUAGAAAUGGAUUUAGAAUUAAUGUUGUAUUUGUUUGAGUGGACUGAAGGUGUUAUGCCACCUGAGAUUGGGUGGGUUCUCAGGUGAGGCAACUUGAGUGUUCAUGGAGUGUGGUGAGUUUUCCCCAUUAGAGUACUCUGCUGGGAGGGGAGUAUGGGGCGCGUAGGUAUUUGGGUAAGGGUAAUGUUUUGGACUGGGUGGUUCCAAUUAUGUAUGGACCCCAGUUGUUGAUUUGGUACUGGCGCGGUGGCCCAUGGCCACAUAGUUAGCAGGGCAUGUGUCUGAGGUUGGUCUAUUGGUAGGGGCCUCCUGGUAGGCAUCAUUAACGGGCCCAGUUGGAUUUUUGUUAUCAGCUCCCUCAGGCCUCAUUCCCCCCUUGCGUUUGGCAUUGUACUUGGGUUGGGGCCGCAUGUGUUGGGCUAUUGGGGAGUGGGGAUGGGAUUUUGUUUAUCCACUGGACCACUGGGCCUAUUGUAAUUUUUUGACUGCGUAUUAUUGGACUUAGAAUUAUAUUGAAAAGUUUUGGUUUUCAGAAACUUACCCGAGUUUGCAUCGAACAUUUUUACCUGGAUCUUUUGUGAAUUUUGUGCAUGAUGCUGAAUGUUUUAUUUCAUCUAGGGAAGGUGACUGUCUUCCAUCCAUCGUCCUCUCCUUCCUUAGUGUUUGUUCUUGAAUUUUCAAGGGCUUCUUGUGACAAUGGUGGUUGUAAUAUUUUGAAAUUGCAAUUUUUUGUUGUGUGGCUAAUUCUUCCACAUGUUGUACAUAACGUACCUUCACCUUCAUAAAUCACUGCUUUUUUAUGGUCACCAAUGAUCACUGAUAUUUUCACUAGGGUUUUAAGGGGUACUUGGAUACAGAUGCGUGCAUAUCUUCCUGUCAACGGGGAAGGGGUGCAUGAAUCAAUUUUGAGUAGCUUGCCCACUUUUAUACCAACUUUUUCUAAUAUUUCUUUGUCAUAAAAUUUUAUUAGUAGUUAGGGUAGGCAAAUCCAUAUGGUUGUGGAAGACAUUGUAGCUUCUUGUGGGACGAAUUUUGGUCCCAUUUACGUACUGAUAGAAAAUUCCCAGAGAUGAACCAUGGCCCUAGGUGUAGUGCAUUUGCCAUAUUUUCCUCUAGACUAAAUUUGACAAUGAAGAAGUCACAUCCUAAGUCAAUCAAGAUUAACUGUUCGGAUGGUUUCCAUAGGUCAAUUAGUUUAGAUCGAAGGUAAUGGUGAGACAUUCUACGACCAAAGACCUUUAUGAUUAUUGAGAAGCGUCAUGGUUGAUAUAGGUGAUUCUUGUCUUCUUGUGAGAGGGCGAUUGGGCCUUCAAUAUUUUUUCCUUUAUCAUCUUUGAUGAUUUGGGGGGCAUCCUCGUCAUAGUACUCCGUUUGGCUUACUGCCUGCUUGUCAAGAAGCAUUUCCUUAUAAGAGUGUGGUGUUGUUUCUUUCACAUCCAUUUGGUUAUUUUGUCUGGUGGUUCCGGUGGUAUAAUUGAUGGUGUAGUGGUUGUGUCCAUAAAGCUAUUCUUAGAGAGAUGGGAGAGUUUCUCUGUCUAAAUAAAAUUUCUAAUCUCUUACAUUUUAUCUAUAUUCUUCUCUCAAUUUUCUCAUAAUCAACUACGUUUCAAGUAUUUGGGCAAAUAUUUUGAGCAAGUUUCAAGCUUCAAAUUAAUUCGUCAAAUAUUUGGAGUAAUGUUUUGGACAAUUUCUUCAAGUUUAAAUAUUUAAUCACAGUGUACUCAUUCCAUCUCUUAAUUUUUAUAUUUAAGCUUUACGUAUUAUUUUAGUGUUUAAUAAAAUACCCCUCCCCCUCUCUCCUCCCCCGCACUUUUAAUUUAACUCAUAAGUUUAUUAAAUUUUACUUUGAUCUUAUUUUAACUAAAAAUAUCCCCAUUCUUUUUCCCCCCACACAAAUCUUCAUUCUCUCUCUAAUCUCUUACAUUCUAUCUAUAUUCUUCUCUCAAUUUUCUCAUAGUCAACUACGUUUCAAGUAUUUGGGCAAAUUAUUGGAGCAAGUUUCAAGCUUCAAAUUAAUUCGUCAAGUAUUUGGAGCAAUGUUUUGGGCAAUUUCUUCAAGUUUAUAUAUUUAAUCACGGUGCACUCAUUCCAUCUCUUAAUUUUUCUAUUUAAUUUUUGUGAAUUAUUUUAGUGUUUACUUUUUGUGUUUCAUUUUCGUGUUUCAUUUGUUUGUUUACUUUUCAUAUUUAAAUUAUGGCUUCUAAAAGAGUAUUUGGUAUAACCAACCCAUUUUUAAAGAGUAGUAAAGGUGCUAGUUCUAGUAGUAAUCUAAAUCCUCUUGCUAGAGUUAGAAAAUAUGUAGAGGGUAUGACUUAUGUUGAUGAAACUUCCUUUACCCACCCCCUCAGAUUUUAUGAUAUUAAACCGAAAGAACCACUAGAUCAUGAAACCUACAAAGAUAAUUUGGCAAUGAUAUUAAUUUUAAUGAAGAAGAAGAAAAUAAGGAAUAUGAACUAGAUGAAACACCCACUAAUCUAGCAAUACAAGCUCCAACUUAAAGUCAAUCUUAGUCUAGAGAUUUAUCUCCCCUUGUAUCUCCUGUAAGGGAUAAGGCUAAGGCAGAACGUACAAGAACAUCACUUGUAUGGAAUUUUUUUGAAUUAAGUAAAGUCGCUUCAGUUGCUACUUGUAAAAAAUGUAAAGCACAAUUUGCACAUGGUACGCGUGAAAAUCGGGUGGGACUAGGGGUUUAACCAGACACUUCUUGGUAAACACAACCCUAUAUGGAUAAAAGUUCAAAUAGAUGCGGGAAAAAUAUCAGAUCCUAGCAGCAGUUCUGCCGCUCCUACUGGAUCUGGCGGGGUUUCUAACUAUGUCCAACAACAGUUUUACUCUAUUACUGAUACAAUACUACGUCUCUAUAACAAAGAUAGAGAUCGUGAAAAAUUAACAAAAGUGGUCGAUGUCUUUGGCUUACCUUUUACUUUUCGUUCUCACCCUAAUUUUGUGCAUUAUAUACAAGAAACUUAUAAUUCUAUUUUUUAAGGUUUUCCUAAGACCACGGUUAGAAAUGAUGAUUUUAAAUUUCAAAGUGACUAUCUUUAGUACAUAUGUUGUGUAUGUUACCACUUAGAUUGUAAUGUGUCUAUCAAUCACAUAUAAUAUAGGUCGUAGUUCUAAUGGCAAUGAUUAUUUAACCGUUACAUGUUAUUGGGUUGAUCAAUACUGGAAUAUACAAAAACGUAUUAUUGAUUAUAAAUUUGUUGAUUCAAAAUACACUAGAGCAUAUAUUACAACUAUCGUUCUAGAAAUACUUCAAUUUUAUAGUUUUAUUCAUAAAGUUUUAACUGUCACAUUAGAUAGUAUUGUUGUUAAUACCACUGCAGCAAAUAGCUUAAAAGCUAGAAUUUGCGCAAUUAAUGAAGAAAUUUUUCGUGUUAGAUGAUGUAAGGCCCCGUAAAAUUUCGCCAAGGGAUUCAAGUUUUGUGGUGCUGAGGUAGGGUGAUGUGUACGGAUGUAACAAGGUACAUACUUUUUAGGUUGAAGAAUGCAUCGAGGUAUUGGUAGAAAUUAUUUUGCUGAAGGGCCAGUUAUGCGGUCAGAUUCGCGACCGCAGAUCCAUUAUGCGGGCCGCAUACCCGUCGCAGAGUUGAGCAAAAAAAUGGUUGAAUUUUGAAGGUCGUUUUGCGGUCCAUUCUGCGAUCGCAUAUCCAUUUCGCUGUUAGCAUUUUCCAUCGCAGAUUUGGCAUGAAGAAUUUUGUUGGAUGAUUCUGCGGUCCAUUCUGCGACCGCAUAAGUGGUAUGCGGACUGCAGACAUAUCGCAGACCGGUCCAGACCAGCGCAGUUUUUGGCAUCGUUUUCGCGGCCUAUUUUGCGGGCCGCAUAUCUGUUACGCGGUCUAUUUUGCGAUCUAAGACCUGAGUUCGGAGGGUCCAUUUUCCUAUUUUUAUAACCCGACCUCAUUUUGAUAAAUAGCAUUUGGGGCUCAUUUUGAAACAAAUGUCAAGUAAAAUUUGAGAGAGGUAAGAGUAUUUUAGAGAGAGAAGGGGAAGGCCUAGCGUUCUAAGCACUCAUUCUUGUACCAAUCUUCAAGAAUCAAGGAAGCCACUCACUAUAUCACCAUCUAUCUGGGUAAGUUCUUGUCCUACAUCAUUCAUGCAAAUUGUUUAGGGUUUAAGUAGAUUGUGAAGUUCGAGAUAUGCCAUGCAUGUGCCAAUAAGUGGUAGAAUGUGAGGUUGUUGAACUAUUUUGGGUAGUAUCUUGUUGAAAUUGGUCGAGGGAGGAAAGGAUCACCAUUCUAGAUCUUUGUAAUUAAUCUUGCAUAAUAGGUGUUUGACAAAAUUUCUAAAAGAGCUAUAUCAUGAGAAUCCAUCCAAUUAAUAUUCAAUUUUUUCUAUCUUCCUAUAGAUUGAAUUUGCUAAGAGUAUUGGGACGUUGUAGUAACUUAAGGAAAGCUCAGGCAAGGAAUGUUGGCUAAACUUCUCUCUUGGAAUCGAAUUCCAUGAUGUUCCGUAAGUUUCAAACAUGACUGGCCCAAGUUCCUAAUUCUCAUGUUCCGAGUUAUUCCGUAUAAACGUUACUUUUCCAAAUAAACUUAUGUUGAAAGAUAUGUACUAGAAAUGUGUACCGAAUGCUCCUAUCAUAUUGUGCUCUCCUUCGGAAAUGUAUUCAAAUGUGACCAAUGUGUCGGAAUAUUAUGAUUUCAAUCAUGUUUUUAAUUACAAGUUGUUAUGCCCAAUUGUGAAAGAAAACUCAAUGUGCCUAAGACCCUUAUUGUUCAUAGUCAUGCUUAAGGACUUGAUCCCAAAUGCUCUUACUGUUGAUAACCUACAAAUAUUCUUGAAAGUGAAAGAACUAAUGUGGGAUAUAAAACGUGGCCAUAGUUGUUGUAGCUAGUGCAUUUGAUUUGAAGUCGUGUUUAAAUCGUAAAUUACCAUGCCCUCCUUUAUAAAUAUUUCCAAGGUGAUUUGAGUUCUUACGUACUCAAGAGUUGAAAUUGUAUAUUGCCCUUUUGUGAAGAAGUAUUUAAAAAGAUACGGUAUAGUACUCGCUUAUGAUUUUUAACUUGUGUUGUGAUUACAAGUCAUUGUGCUCCAUACUUUAAAAAAGGGAUCUAAUGUGUUUAAAGCUUUCAUUACUAAUGAACUUAAAGUUGUGAUUUCCGAAAUAUUAUAUAUAUUGAUGUUUAUGUUGAUGAUCCUUGAAAGUAAAGAAAUGAAAGCGUGAAAUGUAAAAUACGACCAUCGUGUCAUGAAAGAAGAAACAUAAGUAUGGCCAACAGGGCCGAUGAAAUAAUAAUGAUGAUGUGAAUGGUUAAAGUUACUAACGAGGCUAUAUGUAGUGUGAAAGUUAACGAGGUGAAUAUAACUUUUGUUUCCCUUGUGUGCAAAACAAAAAUAUUUUUGGGAGUAUCAUUAGCAAACCGAGGAAGGGUGGGUCAUAAGGCCCACACCCGAAACUACACGUGCCAGUGUAGGGGUGGAUUGUGAUUAUUCCCCUUAAUUGGGAUGAGUUUGAAAUAUUGAGAUGAUUGUGAUUAUUCCCCUUAAUUGGGAUGAGAUGAUAUUAGCUGUGAAUUGGAAAGUCAACCAACACGGCAUAUGUGGGAAGGCGGUCUAGUCGGUCGGAUGAAGAUCGGACGCCAUAUUGUGCACAUGGUGGUACUACUCUUGGUAACACAUUUUUUUCACAUCACAUGUCAAACCACAUUGUCCGUGGGGAGAUGGCCUAGCUGAUCGGGCAUGAUCGGACUUCGUGCUAAAAAUACGAUGGUAUAUCGGUGCUAAUGAUCUCCCAACCAAACAUAUAUAUAUUUUCGUAUUUUGAAAAUUGUUAUGUUUUAACUUGGCAUUUGGAUAUCAUUGAUUGUUAUUUGUUGCUUCCAUGGUGUUUCCCCUUCUUAUAUUGGCGUUCUAUUUCGAAAGAGGACAUUUAGCUUUACAUACUAGUAUUAUUCCACAUGUACUAACGUCCAUUUUUACCAGGGGCGCUGCAUCUUCAAUGGAUGCAGGUGGUUCAUCAGCGGGCAACUUUGGUCCUCGUUAGCAGUCACUCUCUAUUCAACAGGUUUUGGUGAGCCGUACUCUGUUCUGGGCCUUGUGUCAUUUGAUGUUGUAUUUUGAGCUUUGAGGUAUAGUCGGGGCCUUGUCGCCAACACUUCCAUUCUUCUCUGUUGUUGUACUUAGAGGCUCCGUAGACAGGUUGUGAGUGGUGUUUGAUGUUGGGUAAUGAACUAUAAGUGUUGGUAUGUGGCAAACAUGUUUUUCAUCAUAUCUAUAAACUUGUAAUAUUUUGGAUUUCAAUAGAUAUUCAUAAGAGAUAUUUUAAACUACUGUACAGUCACAUUGGCCUCUGGCACAAUCAGAUUUGAAUUUGCUUUAUUACACUCAUGAAAUUAUGGCUUAAUCUGCACCACUCAUAUACAGGGAAUUACGGUUUUCAGCCUCUGAUUACUUCCUGAAAAAACAACUUUUUCCAUGCCUGCUGCUAAUGAUACUUGUAGUGAUACACCGAAGAAUAAAAGAAGAAACAACUUUGAAGGUGACAAAAUUCUAAGUUGUACGCACCACCAGCUAAUAAUCGAUGUAGAUUCAAUUAAAAAAGAAUGUACCCAACAUAAUAUGUCAUUAAAUGAGUGAAGCAGUAAAGCAUUUCCAAAGGAUGCUAAAAAGUCGCUGAAAACAAUGUAACACAAUGAAACGUUGGGUUAUGAAACAAAGAAAGCUAUAAAUUUUACUACAACCAGGACGUCAAAGUGCUCUGUGAUUCUCUAUUAUGCAAAACUUUGUGCACAGCUCUCUAAGCGCGGACACCCCUGUUAAGAUUAACCAUGCGACCUGAUCCAUCCAUCUGACUUCCCCUCANNN
This 59609-nucleotide long non-coding RNA is filed under the name Nicotiana tabacum (common tobacco). RNAcentral's name for it is "long non-coding RNA (NTAB_LNC016043)". Lineage: Eukaryota; Viridiplantae; Streptophyta; Magnoliopsida; Solanales; Solanaceae. The record is from RNAcentral.